AAAAAAAAAAAAAAAAAAAAGUAAAAACCGAGCAAGUUAUCCAAUUUUUAUCACAAUAUUUAGAUUGCUUAAAAUCGAUAAAGUAUUUAUUGUUUUCAUACACUAAGCGCACGGAUUCUCCAAAGCCAAUUUCAACAGCUAUCUCAAAGGGUAAUUGGAGUCAAUUUUCGCCCAUUGGUUGCUUCCCAUGCAUUACGACAGAAAAAAGGACAGGAAAAAAAAAAGAGCCCAUUUGAACAGGCUGGAUCAGCUGAAGAUUUAUAGGAAGUCAGUCUUCUUUGUAACGUAUACGACCCUCCGGAAGCUACCAGGGUGGAGCAGAAAACUCUACCACGCUGGCUCGCUCUCCAAUCCUGCCGAAGUUGAGACAUCAGUCUCUGUACAGUUGUAAGUGCGACAUUGUAAACUCUGAUAAUUUAUUUUACGGUAUAACAAAUAAUAGGAAAUGCGAGGUAUAUCUGAAUCGAGUAGACUCUUAUUUUUUAUAUAAUUUUUGAAUUGGUGGCCCUUGUUGGAAUGACGCGCCCGAAAGGGAGCUUGUUUGUUUGACCGGUGCAACGUGGUUGUUUUAGUUGAUGCAGCCAUGCAGGAGUGGUGAUAAACCACGUCUCUGAUGCACGAGGUCAAAUUGGUUCCAACCGAUCAAAUCUGAUCCAAUCGGGUUUGACUCGUUGGCAUUUUCUUCGCGUCCGAGCCAAGAUCCAUUAUACAACGAUUUACCAGUUUUAGCCGUUUCGAAAUUUAGAAGCCAAUUUCUUUUAUAAUUGUAAGAAUUUAAUGAAAUUAAAAAAGAUAAGAGGAUUCGUGCAAUCUUCUUAGUCAGGAUAGGGUCUGAGCCCACAUCCAGUCCAUUAUCAGGCCCUAACUAGCUAGGACCAGUUUGGGUCUCAAUCUCAUGCAAAUCUCAGGUUCUGACCAGGAUCAGUAACAUCUACAAUGUUCAUCAUAGCUUAUUUGGGAAACUACAUUUGCAUUAGUUGUUUUUUCUUAAGACAACCAAAAGAGAUACUUCAUCAAAGCAAAAACUCGUUACAUGGGCAAGUAAUUAACUUAGAUUCUACUUACAACAAGCAACAAAUUAACUGCGAUGCAAAUAAUUAAUAACAAGUUAAAAUAGAAAGCUCACAUUAAGCUCAUAAAUCAAUGAGAUUAGAGCGCGUCAUUUAGAGAUUUUCCAGCUCAUGACUAUCGACGCAAGGAGAAUCCUGACUCUGCAGGCGUCGCAGCUUGAAUGAUGAUAGCUUUUGAGCCGACGGGCAGGGCGAUUGCCCGGUCUCGCGUAUAAAAGCAUAAGCCCAUGCACCCAACAAUGUGCCAAACACCGGGCCCACCAAAUACACCCAAAGGCCGUCGUAGAUCUUGCUCGCGACCGCCGGACCUAGCGUCCUCGCCGGGUUCAUCGAUCCCCCCGAUACCGGCCUGCACGACUCGAUCGCACUUGAUUGAUAUAAUAAGAUAUGUAAACCCAUAUAUAUGUAUAUAUAUAUACUCAGAUUUAAUGUGUAACCAUUUCAGUUCUCGUUUAAAAAGGUUUUUGGGGGCAAAAUUCAUGUUUAUGAUUGCAUAAAAUUAGUUUUUUUUUUUUCUCUUAAAGAAAAAGGAUAUAAUUUUUAUAGAACAAAUUGAAGUUGGUUAUUUUGAUUUAAUUUCUACCCUGCAAAAAUAGAGGUUAUGCAAACUGCGGAGCCAACUGCCAACCCUGCCAACUCUCCCACCUGCAUGCAUGUCAAGCAAAGAAGCGUUCAAAAGUCCAUAGACAAAGUGCAUUGAAAGGUCAGAGAUCAGACCAAACCAUAAUUAUUAGUAUUAUCAUAUUAUAUUAUAGCACAUUAACAGUUGAAAAAGUUUCUUGAUGGAUGGGAAAUUAAAGCAUAAAUCAAACAAUAAUUAAUAUUUACUGCUUUGGUGUCGGUCGCGACGGCGGAUGUAACGAACAUCAUGUUGAAGGUGACAACCACCUCAGUCACCAAGGCUUGCCACACCGUCCCCGACGGGGUUGUCGUCCCCAGAUUCGCGAUCGGGUGGAGCAGCUCUCGCAGGACAAAACCCGCGAUCACGGCGCCUGAGACCUGAGCCGACCAGUAGAACGGCACCUGCACCAAAAGGCAAAAAUCAUUUUCGUAAGUUUAGAUAUAUCUUAGUUGAAACAGUCAUGCUCAUUUUGUAUUGCUUGAUUACUUUAAAGGAAUUGAUAGUUUUGAUCGAUUCAAUUAUUUGGUUAAAAAUACUUAAAUUGUAUAGGUUGGUAAUUAAAUAUUACUUGUUAAUUACGCAGCACAAAUUAAUAAAGAUGUUGCAACACAAGUUGCUCUCGCUCAUUAAUAUCUUGUAUUAAUGACCUGCUGGGACAUUCCACCGAUCAUUGCUUACACGUACGUAGUUUGAUACGUUGAACUCAUCCCUUCACAAUUGAUGAUAUUGAUGUCUCAGUAGAAUGUAGGAGCCACAUGCAACUACUGUCUUAAUUCUUUAUUUUUUCUAACCCUUACACAUUUUUAGUUAAAAAUAGUAAGCUAAAUUCAUGUUUUUUUUCAUGCAAUAGAUUUAGAUGUAAUUAAAAUAAUAUCAUGUAUAUUGCAUGGAAAUAUAUUUUGGAACAAAGAGUUUGGUUAUAGUAGUCACAAGCGACAAGACUGUAGUACUGUUAUAAUUACUGUACAGAAUACUUAGUUAUUAUCAGAUGACUUAUAUAUCCUUAAUUAAGCACAGGAGUUUAAAUUUGUGAUAGCUAAUUAAGUCUCAAGAAAUUAAAAAGGGUUUGAACACCGAGUUUUUUGAAUAUAUAUAGUCUCCGUUCUAGAGGGAGUUUUAGCUUGGGGUAAAGUGCCUAACUAUGAACAACGUCCAAAAAAAAGAAAAAGGAAAAAAAAGAAAAAUAUCAAAAAUAGUUUUUUUCUCGCAAAUUAGCUUGGAAGUCAUGGAGGCAUAUAUAUAUAUAUAUAUAGAGUGAGGCUACUAUGCUAUCGGAAGCACGGAGCCUUCCGUGCUUCCAGCUCGUUUUCGAUGUUGCGACUUUCGAAUCGUCGAUCGGCUCCAUUAAACUUGAUCUAGAGUAUUUGAAGUAUCUAGAAAAUAAAUUUUAUGAUUUUACGGUAUCAUUUGCCUAGUAAACGAAGGGGCUCAAAAUCAACGGCUGAAAAUAAAAAUCUUACAAAAUGUAAUAAUAUGACAUUAAAAUUUUAAAUCAAAGAUAUUGAUCUUGUUUUAUAUAGUAUAAAAAAUUUUCUAUCAAAAUUUCAUGUGAUUUGGAUAUUUCUACACCGUUAAAUUUGCAAACGGCUCACUACGGCCAUUGAAAUUUGUUGAUUUUGAGCCCAUUCGAUCACUAGGCAAAUGAUAUCGAAAAAUAAUAAAAUUUAUUUUCUAGGUACUCAAAAUACUCUAGAUCAAAUUUAACGGAGCCGAUCGAUGAUUCGAAAGUCGCAACAUCAAAAACGAGCUGGAAGCACGGAAGGCUCCAUACUUCCGAUAGCAUAGUAGCCUCACUAUAUAUAUAUAUAUAUAUAUAGUUCUGCUGAGGUACUAUCAAUAGCACUAAGAAUUUGAUACUAUCGAGUUUUCUACCGUUAAAUUUAACACUAUGAUUAUUUUUGCCCCUUAAAUUAUACUAUUUAAAUAACCACUCACUCAAUCCUAGAAAGUAUAUGGUAAUUACUGGGAAGUAUAUGGUACAAGCUCAUGUGAAUGCACUUAUUAUGGAAUCUGUAUGAUUAAACUGGUCCCCUUAUAUAUAUAUAUAUAUGUAUCCACGUUCAGAGGUACGUGGACCACCCAUAAAUAUUUGAGCGUAUACAUCUUAAAUGUUUCUUUGCAUUAUUUCCAAUUCCAAGUAUCUUAAUUUCCUCAUUUCAAAAAGUUAAACAAACCAUUCAAGAUUACAUGCUAAAUUAGCUUCACGACUCAAAGAUUUAUACGAUGAACUCAUGAUCAUAGUUUAGCAUAAGUAAUUAAAUCAUCGAAUUAUAACAAAAUUUGAACGUAGCAUUUGUUUAUUUUCCUCACGAAUGUUACGUGCUUAGAAUUGAAAAUUGAACAAACCUGAAUCCAAGGAAAAUGGUGGGACACGGCGAAGGCGAGGGUGACAGCGGGGUUCAUGUGCGCACCGGAGAUGUGGCCAACCGCAUAAAUCAUCACGGUGACGAUCAGCCCACCCGCAACCGACGCCCCCAGCUGCGAGACGCGGGUGAGGUCGCUCUUGCUCAGCGCUGCGGCUCCGGCCGUCGCGAACACCAGCAAAAAUGUCGCUAUCGUCUCCGCCACCACCUGCAACUCCAUCAGUGUACGACUAUAUAUGUAAGAGACGUUCAGUUAAUCACGUAUCAAUCACACGUAGAUAGUGUUUUUUUUGUCCUCAUACAUAGAUUGUUUUUCAUCUUUCCAUAUGUGUGCAUAGUUAAUUCACUGCACUUUUUGAUGCACUUUCGCUAGCUACUUCAUAAAACUACGUUGUUGAAAAGCAAUUAGAAACAACUCUUACUGUUUUUAAAUAGCACUGCUAAAAUAGCACUUUUGUAGUAGAUCCAACUAAACAUUCGGGCAAAGUUGACGAGAGAAACAAAUUAAUUAAGAUUCUAAAGCCUUGAGAUUAGGAAAUAAUUAAUCUCUCUCGCUUAAUGACAACAAGAACAUUAAUGCGACUCAUUUAGGGGCAUGUACAACACCUUUCUAAUAAGGCAAGGAGGGAAAAGCUCUUCAAAAGAUGUCUCUCCAUGGAGAACUCUUUGGGGGAGGGAGGAGCUUCGGGCUAUUUCCUUGUCAUGGAUUUCAUGGGAGAAGCUUAUGACUGUGUUGGAGCCCAUCUCUAGCUAAAGAAGCUAAGCACUCGGCUCAAUUUUGGGUUGUGUUUGUCCCUCUAUAGCAAGAGUGCUCUACUUAUAUAGAGUGUUGCUAAUGAUAAUCCAGUGGUGGGAAUAUGGAAUCUAUUUAGCAACGAAUAGGUUCUUUUCCAACUCGCUACAAUAGAAUUUGCUGAUAGAAAUAUAUUUUUUGAACACUUUUGUAUAAGUAUCUCAUUGAUGUCAAAUUUUUUUUAAAAAAAUUUAUUAAGAUCUAAAUAUAAAUCCCGAUCCAAUCAAAAAUAAAAAAUUUCUCUACUCAACCAACCCCGCUCAACCCGCUCAGCUCAAUUACAAAUAGAAAAAAAAAAAAAGAAAAAAUUAAUCAUCAUCUCCCCUUCUCCUCCUCCGCCGUCAUACCCGACGAGACAGGGUUCCGAUGACUGGAGUUCGGCUGCGAGGAUCUCGCAGGGAUCGUAAAGGGCUACAAUUGCAACGUGUCCCUUCACCACGCGUCACUAGAGGAGUGGGUGUCAAACAUCAAAACGGCCCUACAUAUAGCGACCCCACGUAUAGCAACACUUUUAAAAGGUGUCAGUGAUUUAGACAACAAUACUUUUUUGACCUAUACUGACAUUUAAAAGUGUCGCUAUAUAUCGUUUUUAUUGUAGUGACUCUCUCUCUCUCUCAAGACCAGUAUAACAACAGCCAUAUAUUCCCAUCUUUAGGGUGUCUCAUAUUAAGAGAAAUUCAUGAUUGAUACACUAAAAUUGAUCACAAUAAUGGCCGAGAAAAUAGGACUUUUCUAUGAGAGCAACACUACUGCAUUACACCCAAAAAAUACGCGUCCGAUAUAUCUAUCCAAGAUUCUGUAUCUUCACACUAUUUUUUUAAUGUAUUGUUUUUAAUAUUAAAAAUGCAAAAAGAAGUAUCUAAACCCUUAAAUUAAUGGGUAGGUGUAAAAUUUAUACUCUAUUUUUAGACAUAUAAGUAGCAUUUCUCUUUCUACAAUUGGUAUUCCACAAGUUUUGUCCCACUAAUCUAAUUAAGCCAUGCGGAAUUGUAGAUAUAUAUCUGAUAUUUAAGGAUAAUUAACUAAUAUAUGGUUGAGUUUUAGUAUUCAUGCAUGAAUUUUAUGGUAUAUGGAAGAUUUUCUCCAUGCAUGCCACACAUCUUUAUUUUUCCGAGAGUUAUAGUCUUUUUUUUUUGUUUAAAACUUAAAUAAUUGGAUUAGAAGUAGUAUAAGACUAUAUCAUUCAACUCCAGCAAUUUGGCAAACUAAGAUUUAAUAAUAUUUCUGCAGCAGUAAAAAAUAGAAAUGAGAUUCUCAAUCCAAAGAUCAAAAGAAUCAAAUAAGGUUGGAUUUCUACUUCGACUCUACUACUAAGAAAUUUAAUUUGUCCAGAGAUAUCGAUCAAAUAAGAUUUAUCAAACAACGUUACUCCGUAAUUGUGGCAAGCCAAAAUAGAUCCUUAUGCAGACAAAAAUUAUAGCAGUUAGAAGCUCCGUCUAGGCCAUAUAGGCCCUCAGCAAUAUAGAACUUAGGCAAAAAAAAAAAAAAAAAGAAAAAAAAAAAGAAAAAAGAGAGAAGAAGAAGAAGAAGAAGAAGAAGAAGAAGAAGAAUGAAGUAACAAGUGUUAAAUGUCCACUAUUUUUUGGGGGGCGAAUAAUACACAGUGAUCUUGGUCUGGGAUAGGUAGAUGACGAAGAUUGGAACGCAGUCAUCGAGUACUAUGUUAUCCGGAUUGGUAGCUUGCUGGUCGAUAAUUUAAUUUAGGAAGUCAGGAACAACGUGAUCUUAGAAAGACCCAACCGGACCCCUUCCUUACAACUUACAAGAUUAAGCAGCUGACGAAUCUUUGAGAGCAAUUUCUAUCAGUUAAUCGGCGACACACUUGUAGUCGGUAGGUUUUUUUUUUUUUUUUCACCCCACUACAACAAAAACGGUUUAUAGCGAUACUUUUAAAUGUAGGUACAUGUCAAAAAAGUGCUGCUAGCUAAAAUUACGGACACUUUUAAAAAGUGUUGCUAUAUGUGUGGUCGCUAGAUAUAUAGUGACAGUUAAAGAGUGUCGCUAUAACCUAAAAGAGUGCGACUAAUUUACCAACACUUAUUUAAGCAUUUAGUAACCGUCGAAACUCUAUCUCGUUGGUUGCGGUGGCGGAGGAGGACGACAGGAAAGGCUCUUCGUCUAGAAUUUCAGUAGAUUGAAUGAAGAGAGAAGAAAAUAUGGUAAUUGAAUUUUUUUUUUCUUUUCUAUUUGUAAUCGGGCCAAAUGGACUGGGUGUGGUGGGUUGAGUAGAGUAAUCUUUUAUUUCUGGUUGGAUUGGACUUUAUAUUUAGGCAUUAAUAGAUGUUUUUGUAAGUUUUAGUAUAAAUGGGACACUUACUCAAAAGUGUCCCAAACAUGUGUCCCUAUAACCUAAUUCUGUUGUAGUGCCCCCUCUGAGGCCUGCGUUGCUUCAUUCAUAUUGUAACUUAAUUUAUUUUUUCAAUAAAUGAAACGGGUAGCAUAUCAUCUAUUUUUUUUAAAAAAAAAAGAAAUAACACACCGUAAGGUUAAUAUAGAAAAUUUGUCUUCUAAUAGGUCUCCUGUACAUGUCUAACUUUAAACGUAAAGAGGCUUUUCAUUGAACUUCUUGUACAUCAAUUAAAAUAAAAAUUAGUAUAAAUAUAUAAAGAUUGUGAGCCUAAUUAUUAUUACCAUCCGUUACAAACUGGGAAGUUAAGGAUUGAACCAAAAAAAAAAACAUUAUGAUGCUUUUUUUUUUUUUCGAACACUGAUUAAUUAUCUCAUUACAGAAGCCGGGUCUAACAAGCACUAAAAAGUAGCAUAAUUUAUCGAGAAUGGAUCGAGGUUAGCGUGGAGGAGGAGACACCAGCAUGUUCCACAUGCACCAAUUCCCUAAUCUUUUUUAAAAGCCAAAUUAUUGGAGCAUCUCCUAUUCAUUUCAUCUUCACAAGUUCUAAAGAUGAUCGAUCCCUUCUCAUCUUCUCCAAUUAAUCCCCUCGCAUGUGGAGAGAUUCCGAGUUUGAAGUGCACUAUUCAUGAUAAUUAGGACCAGCUUUGUAUGGAUUGGGGCCACCACGUCAACUAACAUCUUAUACUUUUUCUAAAAGAAAACAAAGAAAAAGCUUCUUAGUAGCCCAGGGGCUACCUUUUUUUUAGUAAAAAGUUUUUUUUUUUUUAGAGACAUGUAGCAUGCUACCCGUUUUGUAGCUGAAAAUGUGAAUCAACUAGAAUUCGAACUUGAGUCUUGGAUACCAACCACCAAAUCUUGUGCCACUUACUUUAGGGACGAUCGGUAAAAGAUUAAAAAUUUUAAUCUACUUCAUUCGUAUUAAUAACCAGUCAAGUAUCCAAAGGCCGAAAAAAAAAAAAAAAAAACUGUCAUAAGAAUAAUCGACAUGGAAUAAUUAAUAAAUUAGCCAAAUGAACAAUCCGUUUCUUAUGAAAUGGUAAAAAAUUUGAUGAUUGUUAUAUGAGGUUUUAAGUUCAAGUUUAAUUGUUUCACAUUUUUAUUAAGUUUUUUUAAUUAAAAAAAGGGAAAACUUCAAAAACCCCCCCUGUGGUUUCGUGCAUUCUCACUUUGCUACCCUGUGGUUUAAAACGUAUCAAUUUACCCCCCUGUGGUUUCAUUUUUAUCUUUUCGGAAGCUUUUUUGUUAAUAUUUCGUUAAAUUAUAUACAAAAAACUUCAGAUAACCAUCUAUAUUUAUCGAAUAGUCACUUUAGUAUCCUUUAAUUUUAACUUUGUCACUGAUUUUAAAAAAAAAUAAUAAUAAAAUUGAUAACAAAAAGAUAAAAACGAAACCACAUGGGGGCAAAUUGAUACGUUUUAAACCACAGGGUAGCAAAGUGAGAAUGCACGAAACCACAGGGGGGGUUUUUGAAGUUUUCCCUUAAAAAAAUAAAUUAAAUAAAUAAUAUAUUAUCUUUUUUUUGAAAAAAAAUAAUAAAUGUACCAAAUGAGUGCAGUUUAAUAACUUUAGUUAUGCAAAAGAUGAUACAUAUAAAAGUUAGGAUUAAUUGCAUACAUGUCUCUGUAAACAUAGUAGAUUGUAAAUAUAUUAUUCGUGUAAAGUUCAACUUUCAUAAGUUAUCCCUACAAAAAUUUUAAUGUUUUCGGAUAUGUCCCUGCCGUUAGAAACCAUUAGAAAAGCUUAGUUAACCAUAGAUUAAAUAUUUUACCCUAAUUAAUUUUUGACAUUUUUACCCCUCUUAUAUUAUAUUGUUACGAUUUUUAGAGGGAUAUAUUUGUAAUAGCAAAAUUGAAAAUAUAAACAGUUUUCUAACGAUAAUAAAUCAGAGGGGUAUAAAUGAAAAUAUUAGAAUUUUUAUAGAAAUAACUUAUGAAAGUUGAACUUUACAGAAAUAUAUUUGUAAUUUACUAUAUUUGCAGGAACCUGUACGCAAUUAACCCUAAAAAAAGUUAAUACCGUUGAUGAAUUAGAACCACGCAGAAAGAGAGAUAAUUGUAAUUUUCCACUUGUAUGGUCUACAGAUGAUGUUCGCGGAACAUGUUCACACAACAAUUUUGCUUCAAAAGAGAAUAGUACGAAGAAACAUCUCCUCCUCUCAAGUCCUUGUCAAAAAAAUAACAUGCCGAUCUUAAAAAAGUCCCAUUAUUCGACAGUGGUAGCCAUUUCUUGAAGAGUUUGGAGACCGUAUAUUUUCACUCUCUUAUUAAGUUUAAUUUGCUUUGAUCGAGCCUAUUUAUUUAAACAAAAAAGAUUUAAUUUGACUCUUUGUAAUUAAGGAAUUAAUGAUGUGUUUCAUAGAUAAUCUUCUAUAUAUAUAUAAGCUAGCUGGACCCGUACGUGCAAGAACAUUUUUCCCGUAAAAGUUUUACCCAAAAUUUGAGCAGUUAAUUAAUGCCUUAAUUUUGAUGAAGGAAAGAUAAAGUAGAUGCCUUUUCUUGUCAAAGCAGAGAAGAUGGUAGCAGAUAUGAGGAUAAAAUUUUACUGUGAAGCUCCCCAGUGGGACAAUUUACUGACACGUGUUAAUUUUAUCUACAUUCAAUAAUUUAUUGAAUAUUUUUUAUACUAAUUUUUUUAAAAAAAAUUUAAACUCUAGAGGAAAGGAUUAUAAUAUUUGAAUAUAUAUAUAUAGAAAUGACAUAACGAUGGCAGAUUGGGUGCCUCUCAACCAGGCAUCGUUGAUAAGCUCAAAUUUUUUUCAUAUAUACGAAGAACAUUUUCAAAAUACCUUACGGCUUACUUUUAUUAGGAUAACGAGAAUUUGAGCCUAAAUUCUCCCUCUCUCUCUCUGUAAGUAGAUUCUAAAGCACGCUCUUUUGCUCUAGUUGAAAUAGCAUCUUUACCAAAUUGUUUGUAGUUGAACUCAUUUUUAUGUUACCGCAGUCCCCCCAAAUUGAUUGUUGCUCUAAUCAGGUGGGCCCAAAACCCACCCAUUCGUGGGCUAGUUCUUGACCCGGUCCAUCUCUGGGUCCAUUUAAUAUUCCAACUGUGAAUUGUUCGAGUGAUUUUAGCGCCAACAAAAGCUUCAUAUAAUACUAGUGAAAUUACCGGUGCGCGUUGCUGCGUCGAUUUCGUAAAAAAAAAAAUAAUAAUAAAAAAGUCAAAGAGUAAAAUAAAAUACAAAUAAAAAAAACUUAAGAAGAAACAACAGCUGCUACAGUAUAAAUAUAAAAAUAAAAAUAUAAGAAAAAUAAAAAUAGAAUAAGAAAAAAAAACUAUAAGAAUAAUAAAUUUUUAUUUAUAAUAGUAGUAAACAUUGAGAAUUAAAAUAUAAUUUACCUUUUACUUAUAGUCAGAAAUUGCAAGUAAUUAAAAUUUGAAGACUAAAGCAUCACGUGCCUCAUAGUUUGAGGAAGAAAAUAUAAUGUAUUAAAAUUCGAGAACUAAAGUAUCAUGCAUCUUAUAGUUUGGAACCAAAAGCGUAAUUUAUUUUUUUUAUAUUUUAAUUUUAUUUCAAAUGAAGACAAAGUUUUGUACGAUAUGUUAAACUAUUUAAUAAAUUCUAGAAUGUCUAAUUGUUAAAAUUAAAAGUCGACCAAUCACAUUUUGAAUAUUUCAAAAAAUUUUAAAUAUAAAAUUGAUCGCUCAUCAAACUAUGAAUAUAACAUUGAAGUUUGAUGUAAAAAUUAACGUAAAAACAUGUAGAAUUUUUUAGACUAUAAACUAUUUUGAAUUAACUAUCAAGCCUUUCAAAAUUUUAUUUUUUACUAUCCAAUCUUUCUACAUAUUAAAUUUGAGUGGGUAAAUGAUACAUUAAUUUCAAAAUAUAAAUCCGUCAUUUAGCUUACCAAUUUGGGUAAUAUACUUCACGUGAUUUUCACAACUAAAUUUAUUAAAAAAAUUUUUAACUUAAACUCUAUCAAUCUCUUUUUUAUUAUUUAUUGUACAAUUUAUAUCUAAAUAAUCAAUAUUAUUAAAUUAAAAUUUAUGUUUAAUACAUAUAAUUUAUACUAUUUAAAAAUUAUGUAUAAAAAAUUAUAUAUUUUAAAUUUUUAUGACAAAAGAAUAGAAAAUUAGAUUGGAUUUUAAAAAAUUAAUUUCUUUAAUUAAUAGACAAUGAAUGAAAGAAAAAAAAAACACACACACACACACACAAUGAAUGAAAGAACAAAAAAACACACACACACACACACACACACACACACACAAAAGGCUGGGCCCCAGCGGCCCACCCCGACUCCCCGCUCCAGCUCCCCCACGUGGUCUAAAAGACUAACGAUUCAUAUAUUAACAUAGAUUUUAAUUUUUAUAAUAUAAAAAUAAGUGUAAAUAUCGCGUCCUAGACUUUGCUGACUCGUCUUAGCAUUUUUUUUAUAUUGAAAAAUUUUAAAAAGUAUUUAAACUUAUAAUCAUGUGUGGUAAGAUAUACCCCUUAUAAUGAAAUGUACAUGCAGUAUUUUUUUCAUUCUCAAAUUUUAUUUUUCAAAUGAAUGAAAUAGAUAGCCUGCUGUCUCCCUCUCUCUCCUAAAAAAACUCAUUAUUAUUAUCAACUAGAGUGUAAUGAACUUACAAACUCUUUCAUUUGGACUCUAGUUUAAUUUGAUACUAGUGAAGGGCCCGCGUGUUGCGCUGGAACGAUUUCGUAAAAAUAAAUAAAUAAAUAAAUAAAUAAAUAAAUAAAGUAAAAAAAAGAUUUGCUGUAAUAAAAAUAUAAGAAAUAGGGUUAACUUGACUAUUAAAAAAAUAGGAUUGCUGCAAUAAAAACCAUACGAAUUUGUUAUCUUGACUAUUAAAAAAAUAAAAUUGAUCUAUGCGAUAAAAUUUUACAUUUAUUUAUUAUAUUGACUAUUAAAAAUAGAAUUAAUUCAUUUAAUAAAAUUUUACACUUGAUUUGGCAAAAAUAAAAAAGCAAAGUUGUUAAGAAAAAAAAUAAAGAGAGAGAAAAAAGAAAAGAAAAGAAAAGAGGUGGGCCCCACCGACCCCCCAAAAUGCGGGGGGAGCCCCUUUAGGCUCUCCUAUCAUGUAUUGUAUAGAAUAGAUUUGAUGCACGACCAAAUCUUGGGUAGGUUUUUUUUGUUCAAAGAUAACUAGUAAUAAAAGCCAAACUGAUAGAGAAAGAUAACAAGUUUCCUACACUAAGUUGCUCAUUACUAAAAUAAGAAAAUAAUUAAAAACAAUACAUGAAUAAUCCCAAAUAUAUGUAUAUUAAGCUAUAUUAAAUCAUGCUAUUUCUAUACCAAUGUCUGUGCAGAAAUGGUCAUUACAUUACUCUCUCACCUGUUCUUUAGCUAAUUAAAGCAAUGCAUCUAAAAAGCAACAUGGAUCAGAUGCAUUCAAUAACUCUUUGGCCUGUUCAGGUACCAUGUAUUUAUAUGUUGUAGCAACUCCAACCUCCUUUGAAUUGUGAGUUGAUUUUAACCUUUUUAGGGCCCUUUUGAAUUUCAACCUUUUACCUCAAAAUAAAAAGGUCUUGAUACAUUGAAACGGAUCAAUAUUUUUACGCGAAAAUUGAUCUUCCCAUCUUGAUUUGAUCAAUUCUUGCAGAAAAAGUCCCCUGCUAGUCAUUUUCACUGCAACUUGAUUCUUAAACUGUCAAACUUUUCACAGUCAUGGGUGGAGCACUGCCGCCAGUCGAAUUCAUUUGAACCUUUAUUUGUCUUACUUUUCCUUCUUUCUUUUUUUUUUCCGCGCCUUAUCUCUUUUGUUGUCAUUUUGGCUCCUUUGUUAUUUUGUCAUUGUUCUUAAUUUUGUCCCUUUUUCUUCCGCUGGAGGCUUCGGUUGAGGACACGUUACCAAAUUUAUUUUUCCGAAUGGAAAAAAAGAAAAUUCAAACUUUUAUUGUACUGAUUUUAUCGUAUCGAACUUGAGUGACAGGACCCAACCAAACUUUAGGUAAAACUGAAGUUUGGUUUGGGAAAAGGACAAAGAAAAUCGAAUCUAAGAUAGAACUGAGUUAAGUUAGGAUCGAGACUUAUAAUUUUCUAGCAUUUUAUAAAAGUGAAACUAUCCCAUAUUUUAGUUUAUAGUAAAUCUAAGGAAAAACUUCAAACCCUCUCCCCACCCUGUGGUUUCGUAGUUUCUCACUUUGCCCCCCUGUGGUUUGGAAAAAGGUCAAAGAAAAUCGAAUCUAAGAUAGAACUGAGUUAAGUUAGGAUUGAGACUUAAAAUUUUCCAGCAUUUUAUAAAAGUGAAACUAUCCCACAUUUUAGUUUACAGUAAAUCUAAGGGAAAACUUCAAAAACCCCUCCUGUAGUUUCGUAGUUUCUCACUUUGCCCCCUUGUAGUUUAAAAUGUAUCAAUUUGCCCCCCGUGGUUUCUUUUUUCUCUUUUUCUGAUCAAUUUUAUUAUUUUUUUUCUUAAAUCAGUGAUAAGAUUAAAAUUAAAGGGUACUAAAGUGAAUAUUUGAUAAAUCUAUAUGGGUAUCUGAAGUUUUUUGUAUAUAAUUUAAUAAAAUAUUAACGAAAAAACUACCGAAAAGAUAAAAACAAAACCACAGGGGGGCAAAUUGAUAUACUUUAAACUACAUGGGGGCAAAAUGAGAAACUACUAAACCACAAGAAGGGUUUUUGAAGUUUUCCCUAAAUCUAACAACAAAAAUUGUUAUGUUACAGUCAAUUUUUUUAAAAAAAAGAAAAAAAUUGUAAGCAAUCCGCUUCAUUUGUUCAUUUUUUAUAUAUAAAAAAAAUCAACUAGAAAUAUAAAAUAGUUGGAUGUUAAAUUUAAAAUCUCAAAUAUGGACUACGGUGGAAAAAAAAAAAAAAAAUAAAUCCUUCUAGGUAUUAGCCAAACAGCGACUUUUACCUUAAAACCUAUAAACAUGCCAUAUUUUAGACCCGUGACAAACAGAUUCCUAACACAAGGUGGAAUCCAACAAGUGAGAACCAAAGCAGCAGGAAUCCAAAAUGCCAUGGUGGCCCCACUAAAAUACUUAAAUUAGGAUAUGGUCCCUUUUUUUUUGUUUUUUUCCCCUUUCUCUAUUGUGUUUUGGGCCAAGAAUAGUACAAAAAUCUUGCACAUGAGGUGAGCCCCAAGUUUCGAAAUGCAUAUUUAAAAAAGCCUACAAAGCAAAGAGGGUACUCGGUUUGGUUUCUUUUUUCAAAAAAAAAUAAAGUUAUAUAAGGUACACCCCUGUUUAAUCAAAAAAAAAGAAAAGAAAAAAGGAAGUUAAAAUUUUUAAAUUUAUGUGUCCCUAAAUCGAAGCAAACCAAAGUACUAUGAGAACUGAACCAAUUCAAUUUGAUUAGGUAAGACACUAAUAAUAUUUUAAGAUCUAGUCGACUAGUAUUGUACGCAAAACUUCAACUAAAUAAUUAAGAUUAUGGUCUAAAUAAAAAAAAAAAACAUUUUAAUCACAACGUGCUAUGAUUCGAUCUUAUGAGGAUAAUAUAUAUACGGAACAUAAUGAAUACUAUUACCUAAUAUAUGUUUAUAUUUCUUUGAGAGAGAAAGGUAAAGCAUGUUACCUUUAUUUCUUCUAAAAAUAAAUUUAACUGAACAAUAUAAAUGAAUUAAGAAAUUAGGCUACUGGUUAACUAUCGGUAGCACGGAGGCCUUCGUGCUACCAAAUUAUUUUCGAUGAUGCAGCUUUCUAAUCAACGAUCGGCUACAUUAGACUUAAAUAUACACUAUUAAAAGUAUUUAAAAAUUAAAUUUUAUAAUUUUUCGAUAUUAUUUGGCUAGUGAUCAAAAUGUCUCAAAAUUGACAAUUUUAAUGGCCAAUAUGAUGCGUUUGUGAAUUUAACGGUGUAAAACAAUUCAAAUUUGAUAAAAUUUUUAUAAUUUUUUUUUUACUAUUUAGAGUAAGAUUAAUAAUUCUGAUUUUAAAUUUAAAUCUUUUAUCAUUAUUUUUUAUGAAAAUUUUAUUUUUAAUCAUUUAUUUUUAAAUUACUAGUUUGAUAGGUAGAUAAAGUUAAAAAAUUAUAAAAUUUAGUUUUCAAAUAUUUUCAAUAGUAUAAACCUGAGUCUAACGAAAUCGAUCGUCGAUUGAACAGUUGUAUUGUUUAAAAUAACUUAGUAACACAUAGACCUCCAUACUAUCGAUAGUAUACCGAGAAGGCUCUUCGAACUUGAGAUCUCGUAUACAAACGAUUAGAUUUUUUAGCACGAGCAACGGCCGGUAAUAUAUGCAAACGAUGGUGAUAAGUAUUAGGAGGGUUUUUAAGUGGUGGCUUCUUAUCUUGUUGUUUUUGGCUUUUGUAGAGAAGCGCUUACUAAGAUGGCGAGAAGCGCUUCUGAGGAGCCUCUUCUCCCUUUGUUGGAGUUGAAAAGUUCCGAGAAAUUGGCGGAGACGCAUCAACAUGAUGAUGCCACUUUCAUUAGGACUUGUUUUAAUGGGCUCAACGCUUUAUCAGGUAAAAUCUCAAUCUUUUUUCUUCUUUUUUAUUAUUAUUUAUUAUCAUUAUUGUUGCCGUUUAUUAGUGCAAAUUUUUAAUAAAAAGUAUAUAAUCUCGUUCAAGAAUCUUAUAUAACAUCAGGUCCUUUUCAUCCACUGCUCUUUAUUUUAAUUUUGAAUGAGACCAUGUUCAUCACAUAGGUACGUCUCCAUAUGGUUUCCUUUUUCGUUCUCGAGUUAAAAAGGUUUUUUUUUUUUUUUUUAACAAAAGAUUAUGAUCUUGAUCUCAAUAUUUUUUUUAAAAAAUAUUUAACAAAAUGGAGAAUGUAAAAAGAAAAUAAUAAUAAUAAUAAUAAUACUUCAUCAUAGUUCAUCAAUCGAUGUUAUUAAUUUUUGUGGUAUUAAUUCUUUUUCCCUUUAUUUUUGCUGUUUUAUUUUACUCUCCUUUUUAUUGUAUUAUUUACUCUAUGUCAUUUCAUUUUAUGUUUCUCCAAAUUCAUCAAUUUAUUUUUCCUAACUUUCAUAUCCUCCAUUUUUUUUUUUCUUUUUUUCUGGACGGUUUAUGAGUUAGUGAGUACUCAAAUAGGCUAGUUCUCUGUGAAUAGAUCUUUGCGUUAGAAGCCACAUUAUAUUCUCUCUAUGAUAAAUUUACAAUACUAAUGUAGUCAUUAAUGUGUUUUUUUGUUGUUGUUGUUGCUGCUGUUCUAUUGUUCUGUGUCAUAUAGGAGUUGGACUACUGUCAAUCCCCUAUGCACUUUCACAAGGAGGUUGGUUAAGCCUGCUGCUACUCUUCAUUGUAGCCAUGAUCUGUUGCUACACCGGCCUGCUCCUUCAACGGUGCAUGAACGCCGACCCGAGAAUCCGAACCUAUCCGGACAUCGGCGAGUUCGCAUUUGGCUACUCGGGAAGGAUCUUCGUGUCGAUCUUCAUGUACUUGGAGCUCUACCUCGUCGCGAUCGGGUUCUUGAUACUAGAGGGUGACAACUUGGAUAAGUUGUUCCCCGACACUAGGCUUACCGUCGGAACCGUCAGCAUCGCGAGUAAGCAGUUGUUUGUCAUGCUAGUCGCGCUUAUAAUCUUGCCGACUACUUGGCUGCGGAGUCUCGGCGUGCUUGCUUAUGUCUCGGCCGGAGGGGUUCUUGCCUCGGUUAUUGUUGUGUUCUCCGUGCUGUGGGCCGCGACGGUUGAUGGGGUUGGAUUCGGUGAAAGAGGGAGGUUCUCCAACUUGAGCGGUCUGCCGACCGCUCUGGGGCUUUACACAUUCUGUUAUUGCGGCCACGCUGUGUUUCCGACGCUAUGCACUUCGAUGAAGGAUAAGAGUAAGUUCUCAAAGGUGAGUAGCACAAGGAGCUAGCAUUCCAUUAAGGAUGCGUUUGGUUCACGUUUUUUUUUUUAAGAUUCCUACUAAUCUAAUAGGAAUAAAAAAUAUGAUGAUGUUUGGCUAAACACACUAAGUAAUUUAGUUGAUAAUAUUAGAUUUACUUGAGAAUAAGAUUCAUUCCAAAGUACUAAUCUCAUUCCCUUGAGGGAGGGUGGGUAUCCUCUAUUAAUGGAUUUGGGUAAUCAUAAUAUGUCUAAUCUCUUUCUUUCUCUUUAGCCGCCGGUUAGUUGGUAUUAUUUUUCUUUACAUUCUAAUCUCAUAUCUCUCUUUAAACUUAUUUUUUUCUCUCUAAAUUUUAACUCUUUUUCUCUCUCUAAACUAAGCUCUCUCUUCCCCUCUUUUUCUAAAAUCUCAAUUCUCUCACUCCCUCUAAUUUCGACUCUAUUUUUCUUCUUAUUUCUUUAAUUAUGCUCUCUCUUCCUUUUUUUCUAAAAAAAUAUUAAAAUUUUUGAUAGCAUUAUUUAAAAUUAAUUAAAGAAAUAAAUAAAUAAAUAGUAUAUUUUUUGUAAACUUAAAUAACAUGACUAAAUAAUAUGAUCGUGCGAACCAAACACAGGAAUACCACAUUCUUAGUAAUAGGAUGAAUAGGAAUAAGAUUCUCGAACAUCUUUUUAUUGCUAGUAAUCUUUUAUAGUGCGAACCAAACGCACCCUAAGUGCUAUACAAUUUUAAGUAGCAAGGGUACAGUAGGUGAUCUCACAGCAGUUCAGAACAGAACCCUUUUAAAUUACCACUGAAGCUUCUCAACAAGAAAAAAAAAGAAGAAAAAAAAAGAUGAUAUGGUAUUACUUUAACUAGUAGUGAAUUUCGUAACCAAUUAUUGAACUUUUCGGUCAUCUCAUUACCAGAGAAAGAUGAUUUCAGAAGUUAAAUGCUCUGUUUGUUACAUGUCUCCAUGCCCAUUGAAUUGAUUCUUUGUUUGAAUUAUGUGUCAUUAGCCUUGCUUAGUUGAUUCUCUUUUUCUCAUUGUAGGUGUUGCUGCUAUGCUUUAUUACAUGCACUCUUAACUACGGCUCGAUGGCAAUUUUGGGCUACCUCAUGUACGGCGACAGUGUAAACUCUCAAGUGACUUUGAAUCUCCCUACAGGAAAGCUUAGCUCGAAGGUAGCAAUAUACACCACACUAAUCAAUCCGUUCUCCAAGUAUGCCUUGAUGAUUGCCCCGGUCGCAACUGCAAUCGAAGAAAGAUUGAUCACGGUCAACAAGAGAUCUCCUAUGCUGUUGAUUCGAAGCCUCGUGGUUCUUAGCACCGUGGUUAUAGCCUUAACCAUCCCAUUCUUCGGCUCGCUUAUGGCGCUCAUUGGCUCAUUACUAAGCAUCAUAGUGUCUAUGAUGCUGCCCUGUAUAUGCUACAUCAAGAUAUUCGGGGCGUCACAAGUUCGGAAGGUCGAGCUAGUACUCAUCUCGGGGAUUUUGUUGACGGGUUCUUUGGUUGCUGUAACCGGCACUUACUCUUCUUUGAAGGAGAUUAUUCAUCAAUUCUGAGUAUUCCUACGGGAAAUUGUAGUGUUCUACCCAUAGAGUUCAUCAGUUAGCGUGACCGACAGCGAAGGGAAGCUCAUUCUGUGUACAAUUGUAAAGAAUAGCUUUCAGCGGCUGCAAAUCGAAUCAAUUAGAGAUGCAUGCAUGUAUGUGGUCGGCGACGCUCUUUCCAGUGACUCACUGUGAGUCAAUUUGGUUCUUGGAUUCUGAGACCGAUUCGAAGCCUGCUAGUGAUUGCUCCGAAGGACACGACUGAUCAAGUUUCCUCCAGGAGAAGGAAGAGGAAAACUGGAGGGUACCGCCGACAUGAUUUCGUGUUCGGUGUAAAGUCCACCCUGUGCUGUUUCUAUGCUAGUUUUAUGCAGAAGAACUAUUUUGCCAACAUAUUUGAUUGGCAUGUUAAAUAAACGGCGAAAACUCGAUCUUUGUAAUUGCCGAUUAUAAGUUCGAUCUUUGUAAUUGCUGAUUAUAAGGUCACUUUUUGAUUCUCUGGGAACUAAUGUUUGCGUUCUAAUUGUCUAUUAUAGAAUCAGAAUCGUAUGGUGUGAUAGGAUUAGUAGGUGGACCAUGUUUAAGUUCUUUGAUCAGGUACAGAUUGAAGUUUUAGACAAAUCGAAGUCCCCAGUACUUAAAGGCCUGAAAUUAUAUAAUAAUCGCUCUUAUUCUUAUCAUCUACUUACAACGUGCCUCCCCAUGUGCUUGGACUCUACCAGUCGCCACUUUAGACUCUUAUUAUGCAUUUCGGAAACUAUGUCACCAAUCGAUUAGGUUUAAUUCCUUUUAAUUAAGUUAAACUCGAAUCGUACCAAACUACUGUGAGAACUGGAUCAAUAUUAAUUAAGCUAACGUAAUCAGUUUUGUUUUCGUAUAAGAAUCCAAUUACAGGGUUCAAUUUAGAACCAAUCUGUAAAUGAAGCACGUGCUCAUCAAGAUCGCAGCAAUUUUUAAGCCACUAAUUGUACUUAAAUUUCGACUAGAUGAUUAAGAUAAGGUUCUAAAGAGAUGAAUAUUUUAGAACGUGCAAUAUGUACUAAAUACUACAAAAAAAAAAAUUAAUAUAAGAACACUUUUUAGACGACGCUUAGGGAAGUGUCUCCAUGCGUUUUUACAAUAUAGAAAAUAUCGAUGUUUCAAAAAACGUCGUCAUAUAAUAUCAAACAAUUUAUUAAAUGAUAAUAAAUUUUACUAUUAUUUUUAAUUUUUCGACGCUUUAAAGCGUGAGGAUUUCAAAAAUCUUAACAUUUUAAAGCAUCAUAAUAUAUUUUACCGACACUUGAUAUAAGUGUCGAUAUAUGCAUGGCAACUAUUCAUUUGUCGACUCUUUCAAAAAUAACGUUGGAAUAUAUUGGAACGAUCUUAAGUAUCGUAAAAUAAAAAAAAGAGUGUCCUUAAAUGUAGCGUUUUUUGUAGUAUAUAUAUGUAGCUAAUGAAGCAUACAUGCACCAUAAGUAGGGGUGUAAACGAGCCGAACACGACCUGGCCUGUUAAAGUAUCGAGCCGAAAAAUUCAGCUUGUGUUCGGUUCGUUAAUAAACGAGCCGAACAAAAGCUGGCUCACAAGCUGGUCAACAAACAAUAAGUUUAAAAAGAUUAGAUUCAAUAUGCAUAAAAAAAUAAAUUUAUAAAACUAUUCAUUUGACUUUGAUUAAUAGUUGAAAUUUACAUAUAAAUAAGUCUUUUAAAUAUAGCUCGCAUUCAUAUUUUAUUUUGCUAAAAAUUAAAUAAUAAAAAAUAUAUUUGUACAUAUAAUUAUUAUUUAUAUAUAAAAAUAUAAAUUAAAUAAUUAAUAUAUAAUAUAAAUAUAUGUAUUUCGAGCUGUUAUCGAGCCGAACACGAGUGAGCUGAACCCAGCUCGUGUUCGGCUCGUUUAUUAAACGACUUAAAAAAUCCAGCUCGUGUUCGACUCGUUUACUAAACGAUCUCGAGCUCAUUUCGAGUCCAGAGUGUCGCAACAGCCGAGCUGGCUCGCGAACAGCGAGCUGGAUUGCCACCCCUAACCAUUAGAAUAUUGUCUGAUAUAUAAGGUAUUUAAUUUGUUUGGCUUAUUCAUCGAGAAGAGCUUAAUAAGAUGGCGAGAAGCGCUUCUGAGGUGCUUCUUCUCCCUUUGUUGAAGUUGAACAGUUCAAAGAAAUUGGUGGAGGGCCAUCAACAAGAUGACGCCACUUUCGUUAGGACUUGUUUUAAUGGGCUUAACGCUUUAAUUAACUGGUGCAAUCUCAAUCUUAUUAUUAUUAUUAUUAUUAUUAUUAUUAUUUCUAUUUGUUUUUUAUUGCCAUUUAUAAGUGCAAAUUUUUAUGAAGAAGUAAUCUUUUUCGAGCAUCUUUAUGUAACAUCACGUCUUUUUCAUCUCAGGAAUUGUUGUCUUUUUCUAAAAAAUUAUUAUUAUUCUUAUUUUAAGUUUGCCCGAGAUCUUGUUUAGAUAUGUAUGCCUCCCCAUGGUUUUUCUUUUAGAAACAUAUUGAUUGCAUGUAAUUACAAAUUAUAUUAUUAUUGUAAUUGUAUGCAGAUUAAAAUUUGAUCUUUGAUUUGAUAUGUUUAAAUUUAACUACUACAGUUGGUGCUGCACGAGAAGUCGUACAUGCUCAAAUUAGCUACAGUUCAAAUUGCCGCAGUAUAUUUUUUGCUACAUCCAACCAAACAAGACAUAUAAAAUUAUAUAUUAACUUUUUUAACUAGAUAUAUCUUCAAUUGUACCGUAUUUAUAAUUAUAUCUAAUCAAACGGAGCUUUUUCUUUUCUUGAGUAAAAUGGGUUUUUAAAGAAAAAAAUUUAUGAACUGGAAUUCAAUGUCUUUUUUAUUUAUUUAGGGUGCAUUUGGUUUCACUUAAAAGUAGUUGAAAAUUUUUUUUUGGGUUUGAAAAUAAAUUUUCUAGCGUUUGUUUUGAUGUUUUACAUAUUUGAGAGAAAACCGACUUUUCAUUUUUCACGAAAAUGUGGCAGAAAACAAAAACUCACCUGGCCAAAACAUGCGGCGCAUGGCGUUCCCCCGAAUCACAGUCCACGAGCUUAUGCACCCUCCCUUAAUUACUAAUAGCCUUUGGAUCAAACACUAUUUCAUCUACCACCAUCAUCUCAACCUUACAUCUCUUAAUCCAAUGGCUAAAAACUCAAAAGCACCACUUCUUUGGUACUUUUGAGAGUAUUCUAACUCAAAUCAUAUAUAUAUAUAUAUAGAGAGAGAGAGAGAGAGAGAGAGAGAGAGAGAGAGAGAGAGAGAGAGAGAGAGAGAGAGGCUAUUAUACUUCUGGAAGCACGGAGUCUUUCGUGCUUCCAUAUCGUUUUUGAUGUUGUGAUUUUUGAAUCGUCGAUCGGCUCCGUUAAACUUGAUCUAGAGUAUUUGAAGUAGCUAGAAAAUAAAUUUUGUAAUUUUUCGAUAUCAUUUGCCUAGUGAACUAAGGGGCUCAAAAUCAACGGCUGAAAAUAAAAACCUUACAAAAUGUGAUAAUAUGACAUUAAAAUUUUAGAUCAAAGAUAUUGAUCUUGUUUUAUAUAGUAUAAAGAAUUUUCUAUCAAAAUUUCACGUGAUUUGAAUAUUUCUAUACCAUUAAACUUGCAAACGGCUCACCACGGCCCUUAAAAUUAUUGAUUUUGAGUCUCUUCGAUCACUAGGCAAAUGAUAUCGAAAAAUCAUAAAAUUUAUUUUUUAAGUACUUCAAAUACUCUAGAUCAAGUUUAACGGAACGAUCGACGAUUUCGAAGUUCGCUAACAUCGAAAAUGACUUGAAAGACGGAAGGUCCGAACAUAGUAGCCUCUCUCUCUCUCUCUCUCUUCUCUCUCUCUCUCUUCUCUCUCUUCUCUCUCUCUCUAUAUAUAUAUAUAUUAUAUAUAUAUCACUCACUCUCUCUCUCUCUCUAUAUAUAUAUAUAUGUAUGUAUAAUAUAUAUAGAGCUAGGUACAUAUACUAUCUAUAGUACGAGCUCCGUACUAUAUUUGUUUGUUUUCGAUCAUAGGCGUUCAAUAUCAACGAUCCACACCGUUAAAACUGAUCUAAGGGCAUUUAAAGUUUUGAAAAAUAAAUUUUAUAUUUUUUCGACAGUUUACCUUAUGAUCAAACUAUUUCAAAUUGUCAAUUUUCAAAGGCUAUUAUGACGAGUUUGGAGUUUAACGGUGUAGAAGAAUCUAAAUUUCUUCAAAUUUGAUAGAAAAUACUUUAAAACUAUAUAGAUUAAGGUUACAUUCUUGAUCUUGAAUUUAAAAGUCCUAUGCUCAAAUUUUAAAGAUUAUUUAAUUUUCUACCAUCCAUUUUGAUAUAAUUUAUUAACUAAACGAUAUCGAAAAAAACUAAAAUUUUAUUCUCUAGAAAUUCAUUAUACUUAGAUCAUAUUUAACGGUGUGGAUCUUGAUUGAACCGUCUAAGAUCGAAAAAACAUUAUAGUAACCGAGCUCGUACUAUAGAUAGUGUAGUAGCCUAUAUAAUAUAUAUAUAUUAUAUUAUAUUGUAUGUAUAUAUGUAUAGAUAUAAUAUAUAUUAUAUCAUAUAUAUAUACAUAUAUAUUAGCUAUAUAUAUAUAUAUAUAUACUAAUAAUACAUAUAUUAUGUAUGUAUGUACGUAUAUACAUACAUACAUAUAUGUAUGUAUGUAUGUACGUAUAUACUAAUACAUACAUAUAUGUAUGUAUGUAUGUAUACGUAUAUACAUACAUACAUACAUAUAUGUAUGAUAUAUAUAUAAUGUGCUUGGUGUGUGUGUGUGUGUGUGUUGUAUACAUAAUAUAAUAUAUUAUUAUAUAUAUAUAUGAUAAUUAUUAUAUAAUAUACGUAUUAUAUAUGAACGCCCCUCCCAUAUAUAGAGUUGAGCUGGAAUACUAUCGGUAGCAAACGGGUUCCGUUGCCACCCAUUUGUUUUCGAUGAUGGAGCCACCAAAUAAUCUAUACCACUUGAAGUAUCUAGAAAUCAAAUUUCAUACUUUUUCGAUAUUGUUUUCUUGUUCAUUAAGUGAGCGUAAAAAUGAGCGGCUGAAAAUAAAUAUCAUCUAAAAAGUGAUGAUAGAAAUUCUGCAAUCAAGAUCGAGAGUAUAGAUAUUGUUCUAAAUAGUUUAAAGAAUUUUCUAACCAAAAUUCAAUUGAUUUGAAUAACUUUACACCGUUAAACGAGAAAACGCCUCAUAUCGAUCAUUAAAAUUACAAAUUUUAAAACCCUUUGAUCAUUAGGUCAAUGUGUCAAAAAGAUUUAAAAUUUGAUUUCUAGAUACUACAAGUGGUAUAGAUCAUGUUCAACAGUGCGGAUCGUCGAUUUGAAGGCUCCAUCAUUGAAAAUAAAUGGGUGGCAACGGAGCCUGUUUGCUACCGAUAGCAUUUCAGCUCAACUCCCCAUAUAUAUAUGGGAGGAGAUGAUUCAGUUGACGGAAGAGAGAGAGAGAGAGAUAGGGGCGUUAGUCCAAAUUUUUGUCAACUAGAAGGGAUAUGUCUGGUAGGAGAUAGUUUUCACAAUGCAUUCCGAUGAGAAGACUAAUUAUUGCGCAUGGACUAGGUCAAAGAGAGGAACGAAGGAUGCUCUAAUGGGCAGAUAAAACAAUAUUAGGUGGUGAGAAUAGUUUUGUAUAUACUAUCUCUCAUAUAUCUAAUUAAAAGAAUUAGGUGUGAAAAAAAUAAAACAUUUAAAUAAGCUAUCAAAUCAACUUAAAUAUUAAAUGUUCAUAUUUCAAUGUGAUUAUAUUUAUUUAUAUAUUGAAAAAUUAAUUAAAAUUUUAAUAUUUUGGGUGGUAAACAGUAUUUCAAAUGAAAAAAUUAUAUAACUUGAAAAUAUAUCAAUUUGGAAAAAAUAGAUGAAUGAUAAAUAAAUAAUGCUUAUAUAAUAAAUUAUAUUGAAAUAUGGAUCAAAUUAAUUAUCAAAUAUUGAGUUUUAUUCCAUAAAUUUACAAUCUAAAUUUAUUAAUUUAAAAUUUAUAAUUACUUCAAAUUUUUAAAUUUGGAUACACAUUAAAAAAAUUAAAGUUAGAAAAAAAUUAACUGAUAAAUAAAUUUAUACCCAAUAAUUACUUAAUUUUAAAUAUAAAUAUAAAUUUAAUUUAAUUAAAUGUUACGUACAUUGCACGUGCACUAUAACUAGUAUAUAUAUAUAAUAUAUAUAUAUAUAUAUAUAUGCUAGUCUCCUAUAAUAUUAUAGUACUGGGCUCCGGUACUAUAGUCUCGUUUUCGAUCUUAGGUGUUCAAAUCAACGAUUCAUACAGUUAAAACUGAUCUAGGUAUUUAAAGUUUUUAGAAAAUAAAUUUUAUAUUUUUCGAUAUAGUUUACUUUAUGAUCAACCAUUUCAAAAUUGUCAAUUUUCAAUGGCUAUAUGGAGUUUGGAGUUUAACGUGUAGAAGAAUCUAAAUUUCUUCAAAUUUGAUAGAAAAUACUUUAACAUCUAUAUAUUAAGGUUAACAUUCUUGAUCUUGAAUUUAAAAUUCUAUGCUCAAAUUUUAAAGAUUAUUCUAUUUUCACCGUCCAUUUUGAUAUAAUUUAUUUACUAAGUAAACGAUAUGAAAAAAACUAAAAUUUUAUUUCUAAGAACUUCAUAUACCCUAGAUCAUAUUUAACGGUGUGGAUCGUUAAUUUGAACCCCCUAAGAUCGAAAAUAAGACUAUAGUACCGGAGCUCCGGUACUAUAGAUAGUAUAGUAACCUAAUUUAUAUAUAUAUAUAUAUAAUAUAUAUAUAUAUAUUAUAUAUAUAUAAUAUAUAUAUAUAUAUAAUAAAUNNNNNNNNNNNNNNNNNNNNNNNNNNNNNNNNNNNNNNNNNNNNNNNNNNNNNNNNNNNNNNNNNNNNNNNNNNNNNNNNNNNNNNNNNNNNNNNNNNNNNNNNNNNNNNNNNNNNNNNNNNNNNNNNNNNNNNNNNNNNNNNNNNNNNNNNNNNNNNNNNNNNNNNNNNNNNNNNNNNNNNNNNNNNNNNNNNNNNNNNNNNNNNNNNNNNNNNNNNNNNNNNNNNNNNNNNNNNNNNNNNNNNNNNNNNNNNNNNNNNNNNNNNNNNNNNNNNNNNNNNNNNNNNNNNNNNNNNNNNNNNNNNNNNNNNNNNNNNNNNNNNNNNNNNNNNNNNNNNNNNNNNNNNNNNNNNNNNNNNNNNNNNNNNNNNNNNNNNNNNNNNNNNNNNNNNNNNNNNNNNNNNNNNNNNNNNNNNNNNNNNNNNNNNNNNNNNNNNNNNNNNNNNNNNNNNNNNNNNNNNNNNNNNNNNNNNNNNNNNNNNNNNNNNNNNNNNNNNNNNNNNNNNNNNNNNNNNNNNNNNNNNNNNNNNNNNNNNNNNNNNNNNNNNNNNNNNNNNNNNNNNNNNNNNNNNNNNNNNNNNNNNNNNNNNNNNNNNNNNNNNNNNNNNNNNNNNNNNNNNNNNNNNNNNNNNNNNNNNNNNNNNNNNNNNNNNNNNNNNNNNNNNNNNNNNNNNNNNNNNNNNNNNNNNNNNNNNNNNNNNNNNNNNNNNNNNNNNNNNNNNNNNNNNNNNNNNNNNNNNNNNNNNNNNNNNNNNNNNNNNNNNNNNNCACUCGUAAAAUCGAAAAGAAGACUAUGGUAGUACUGGAGCUUCGAUACUAUAGAUAGUAUAGUAGCCUAAUUCUAUAUAUAUAUAUAUAUAUAUAUAUAUAUUAUAAUAUAUAUAUAUAUAUAUAUAUAUAUAUAGAAUUAGGCUAGAUACUAUUAGUAGUAAAAAAGCUCUUUUUGCUAUCAAGUUUUAACCCUUGAAUAAAAAUUGUAGGGUUAGGAUAUAUCUAGUCAGUUAGAGUUGAGUGGUCCCCCUAGGUUGAGUGGUCUCCCUGGGUUAUAGUAUUAAUCUAAUGGUAGAAAUGAUGAAAAAAAGAUUGAUCCAAAGGCUAAAAACCUGGUAGCCAACAAAUGAAUUUUGCUACUAAUAUAGCCCAGUCCAACUCUAUAUAUAUAAUAUAAGAGUUGAGGCUAGAAUACUCUCGAUAGUAAACGGGGCGUUUACUAUCGAGUUGUUUUCGAUGAUAGAGCUUCCAAAUGACGAUCGGCUCCGUUUGAACAUGAUCUAUACCACUGAAGUGUUUAGAAAUCAAAUUUCAAAUCUUUUCGACAUCAUAUGCUAAUGAUCAAAGGGUUUCAAAUUGUAAUUUUAAUGGUGGAUAACAGACGUUUUCUCGUUUAACGGUUGUAAAGAUAUCCAAAUCAAUUUGAAUUUUUGUUAGAAAAUUCUUUAAAACUAUUUAAAACAAGAUCUAUACUCUUGAUCUUGAUUACAAGACUCCUAUCAUCAUUUUUUAAAGAAUAUUCAUUUUCGGGCCAUUCGAAUUUUUUGUUCACAUAGAGAGAUAAAAGAACAAUAUCGAAAGUGCGUGAAAUUUGAUUUCUAGGUAGUUUAAAUGGUUUAGUCAUAUUUAACGAAACGAUCGUCAAAUUGGGAAGCUCUAUCAUCGAAAACAACUCGAUAGUAAAACGCCCCGUUUACUACAGAGAGUAUUCUAGCUCAACCUCUAUAUAUAUAUAUAUAUAUAUAUAUAUAUAAUUAGAUGGGAUACUAUUAAUAGUAAAACCCUCUUUUUGCUAUCAAGUUUUAACCCUUGGAUGAAAAUUGUAGGGUGUAGGAUGAUAUUAGUCAGUUGAGUUGAGUGUCCUCCCUAGGGUUGAGUGGUCCCACUGGGUAAGUAUUUAAUCCAAUGGUUCAGAAAUGAUGAAAAAAAGUUGAUCCAAAGGCUAUAAAAAUGGUAGCAACAAUAAGAUUUUGCCUACUAAUAGCUAAGCUCCAGCUCCAAACUCCUAUAUAUAUAUACUAUAUAUAGUUAUAUAUAUAUAUAUAUAUAUAUAUAUAUAGAGAUAGAGAGAGGCAGAUUGAGCGAAUCAGAGCCGAUGCGUCCGGCGGAGUCCCCUGAGCGAGAGGAGACUACCGACGCACCGGGCUGAGGAUGUAUGAGACGGAGGAGAGGGGACGGGGCGAGGGGAGGGAGCUGCGGAGGACAGACGGGACCUGGAGAGAGAUUCAAAUUAACGAUCCACACCGUUAAAUAUGAUUUAGGGUAUAUGAAAUUUUUAGGAAUAAAAUUUUAGUUUUUUUCGACAUCGUUCACUUAAUAAAAAAAAUUAUGUCAAAAUGGACGAUGAAAAUUAAAUAAUCUUUAAACUUUAAGUAUAGGACUUUUAAAUUCAAGAUCAAGAAUGUUAAUCUUAAUCUAAAUAGUUUAAAGUAUUUUCUAUUAAAAUUUAAAGAAAUUUAGAUUAUUCUACACCGUUAAACUCCAAACUCGCCAUAGUAGCCAUUGAAAAUUGACAAUUUUGAAAUGAUUUGAUCAUAAAGUAAACUAUGUCGAAAAAAUAUAAAAUUUUAUUUCUAAAAACUUUAAAUACCCUAGAUCAGUUUUAACGGUGUGGUUCGUUGAUUUGAACACCCUAAAAUCGAAAACGAAACUAUAGUACCGGAGCCAGAUAGUAUAGGAGACUAUAUAUAUAUAUAUAACUAAGCUGGUAUAUUAUCGGUAGUGUAGAGACCUUCGUAUUACUGAUAUAUUUUCAAUGAUGCAGCUUUUAAAUUGAUGAACGGUUCUAUUAGACUUGACCGAUAUAUACUAUUGAAAGUACUUGAAAACUAAAUUUUAUAAUUUUGUGUCAUUAGUCUUGCUUAGUUGAUUCUCUUUUUCUCAUUGUAGGUGUUACUGCUAUGCUUUAUUACGUGCACUCUUAACUACGGAUCGAUGGCAAUUUUGGGCUACCUCAUGUACGGCGACAGUGUAAACUCUCAAGUGACUUUCAUCUCCCUACAGGAAAGCUUAGCUCGAAGGUAGCAAUAUACACCACACUAAUUAAUCCGUUCUCAAAGUACUCCUUGAUGAUUGCCCCGGUCGUAACUGCAAUCGAAGAAAGAUUGAUCACGGUCAUCAAGAGAUCUGCUACGCUGUUGAUUCGAAGCCUCGUGGUUCUUAGCACCGUGGUUAUAGCCUUAACCAUCCCGUUCUUCGGCUCCCUUAUGGCGCUCAUUGGCUCAUUACUAAGCAUCAUAGUGUCUAUGAUGCUGCCCUGUAUAUGCUACAUCAAGAUAUUUGGCGCGUCACAAGUUCGGAAGGUCGAGCUAGUACUCAUUUCGGAGAUUUUGUUGACGGGUACUUUGGUUGCUAUAACCGGUACUUACGCUUCUUUGAAGGAGAUUAUUCAUCAACUCUGAAUAUUUCUGCAGGGAACUUGUAGUGUUCUACCCGAAGAGUUCAUCAGUUAGCGUGACCGACAGCGAAGGGAAGCUCAUUCUGUGUACAAUUGUCAAGAAUAGCUUUCAGCGGCUGCGAAUCGAAUCAAUUAGAGAUGCAUGCAUGUAUGUGGUCGGCGACGCUCUUUCCAGUGACUCACUGUGAGUCAAUUUGGUUCCUGGAUUCUGAGACCGAUUCGAAGCCUGCUAGUGAUUGCUCCGAAGGACACGGCUGAUCAAGUUUCCUCCAGGAGAAGGAAGAGGAAAACUGAAGGGUACUGCAGACAUGAUUUCGUGUUCGGUGUAAAGUCCACCAUGUGCUGUUUCUAUGCUAAUUUUAUGCAGAUCAACUAUUUUGCCGACAUAUUUGAUUGGCAUGUUAAAUAAAUGGCGAAAACUCGACUCUUCUUCGUAAUUGCCGAUUUUAUUGUCACUUUUCGAUUUUCUGGCAACUGAUGUUUACGUUCUAAUUGUUUAUUAUAGAAUCAGAACUGUAUGGUGUUUAAGUUCUUUGAUAAGUUACAGAUUGAAGUUUUGGACAAAUGGAAGUCUCCAGUCACGGCUUGAAAUUAUAUAUAUAAUAAUUGCUAUUACUUACAACGUGCGUCCCCAUGUGCUUGUGCUCUACCAAUUGGUUUGAUUCCUUUUGAUUAAGUAAAGCUUUUUUUUUACCCUUUUAGAAAUAUGUAAAUAGAAUCUAAUUACAGUAUUUGGAUCUAUACAAUUUGAUUUUCUGUUGAGAAUCAGACUGAAUAAAGCACGUGCUAAUCAAGAUCGCAGCAAAUUCUGAAGCCACUGAGAGCCUGCUUGUUUGCACGGAAGUGGGAUGGGAAAGUGAUUUUCGGUGAAAACUGACUAUUUUCGUUGUUUGGUUCACCGUAAAAAAGUUACGGUCGAAAGUCCAGUUAACCAAAAACGACGUAAUUGACUUCAGCCUAUUGUGGGCCGAAGUCAAUUAUGGUGAUUAAGAUAAGAUUCUAAAAAGACAAAUAUUUUAGAACGUGCACUACAAUAAAAACGGUCUAUAGCGACACUUUUAAAUAUAGGUACAUGUCAAAAAAGUGCUGCUAGCUAAAAUUACCGAUACUUUUAAAAAGUGUUGCUAUAUGUGGGGUCGCUAGGCAUAUAGUAACAAUUAAAGAGUGUUGCUAUAACCUAAAAGAGUGCUGCUAAUUUACCAACACUUAUUUAAGCAUUUAGCAACCGCCGAAACUCUAUCUCGUUGGCUGCGGUGGCAGAGGAGGACGACAGGAAAGGCUUUUCGUCUAGAAUUUCAGUGGAUUGAGUAAAGAGAGAAGAAAAGAUGGUAAUUAAUUUUUCUUUUUUUUUUCUUUUCUGUUUAUAAUCGGGCCAAAUGAACUGGAUGUGGUGAGUUGAGUAGAGUAAUCUUUUAUUUUUGGUUGGAUUGGGCUUUAUAUUUAGGCAUUAGUAGAUAUUUUUUUUAAGUUUUAGAAUAAAUGGGACACUUACUCAAAAGUGUCCCAAACAUGUGUCCCUAUAACAUAAUUCUGUUAUAGUGGUGCAAUAUGUACUAUGCAGAGACAAAGCCAGGAUUCAAUCACGAGGAGGGCAAAAUAUAUACAAAUAAAAUUUUAGCAAAUAAAUAAAAUUUUAACUACUCAAAUUUUUAAUAAAAAAAUGUAGUGAUUAGAUAAUUAAUGUUAAAAAUAUUAAAUUUAUUUUUUUAAUUUACACUUGCUUAACUUUCAAUUAUUUUAUUUGCAUUAUUUUAUUCAAAUAACUUAAGAAUUUUACUAAAUCUAAUCAUAAUUUAGUUAUCAUUUAAUUUUUAAAUUUUUUUAAUAAAAUAAUGACAACCAAUGACUAAUAUUCAACAGAGCUCCUAAAUUUAGCAUAUAAUUUUAUUUAGUUGUAUAAAUUAGCUCAUCAAAAAUAAUUAGAAAGUUAAGAAUGUAUAAAUAAAAUAUUUAAAGUUGAAAGGACGUAUUUUAAAAUACACUAUAAUUAAGAGGUUCUUAGUAUAUUUUCACUUAUAAAACAUAUAAUUAAGUAGAGAGAGCUGUAUACUGGCGCUAAAAUUUUUUUAUAAAAUAGGCUCGUAUAUUUUAAAAAUUAACUAAAAAUUUAUGAACUGCCAAAGAACUAUAAAGUUAAUAUUGAAAAGUUAAUAUUGAAAAGUUAAGGAGGGCCGUAGCCCCUUUGGAUCUAUAUAUGGCUCUGUCCCUGGUACUAUAUAGCUAAUGAAGAUACAUGCACCAUGAGAAUAUUAUGAUUAUAAGAUUAUAUGUAAGUUGGUGAUAGGCGAGAAGCGCUUAAUAAGAUGGCGAGAAGCGCUACUGAGGAGCCCCUCCUCCCUUUGCUGGAGUUGAACACUUCAAAGAAAUUGGUGGAGGCCCAUCAACAAGAUGACGCCACUUUCGUUAGGACUUGUUUUAAUGGGCUUAAUGCUUUAUCUGGUGCAAUCUCAAUCUUUUUCUUCUUUUUUUUUAAACUUGUUUUUUGUUGCCAUUUAUUAGUGCAGAUUUUUAAGAAGAAGUAUAAUCUUGUUCGAGGAUCUUAAUGUAAUUAACAUCAGGUCUUUUUCAUCUCAAGGUAUUGUUGUCUUUUUUUAAACAUAAUUAUUAUUCUUAUUUUAAGUUUGACCGGGAUCAUGCAUAGAUAUGUAUGCCUCUCCAAGGUUUUCUUUUUUAGAAACAGUUUGAUUGCAUGCAAAAUUACAAAUUAUAUUAUUGUUGUAAUUAUAUGCAGAUUAAAAUUUGGUGUUUGAUAUGUUUGAAUUUAACUGUUACAGUUGGUAUUAUACGAGAAGUCUUAACUGUAGUAGUUUAAACUACGCUUAAACUGGUGCUGCAGUUCCAAUUGUUACAGCAUACUUUCUACUCUAUCCAACUAAAUAAAAUGUAAAAAAUUAUAUAUGAAUUUUCUUAACUGGACGUAUCUCUAACUGCACCAUAUAUAUAAUUACGUCAAAUCAAAGUGCCCUUAGCUUUUCCUUUUCUCGAGUAAAAUGGGUUUUUAAAGAAGAAAAAGUUAUGAACUGGAUUUCAAUGUCUUUUUUAUUUAUUUAGCUAAGGAAAAACAAAAAAAAUAAUAAUAAUAGCCAAUCGAUGUUGUUACAUUCAUUGUUCAUCAACCGGUGUUAUUACAUUCUUCUUCUUCUUUUUUUCCUUUACUUCUACUGUUUUAUUUCCUCGUAUUCCAGUUUUUCUUUUUUUUUAUUGCAUUAUUUAAACUCUAUCAUUUCAUUAUAUUUUCUCCAAAAAAUCACUACAUAAGCACAAUAGGUUCUUUAUAUAUAUAUAUGGGCCAUGGCUACUAUUCUAUUAUGAGUAUUGGAGCCCUCGUACUCAUAAGUUAUUUUUAAUGAUAGAGUUUCCGAAUCGACGAUCCAUUUCGUUAAAUAUGAUCUAGAGUAUUUGAAACUUCUAGAAAAUAAAUUUUGUAAAUUUUCAAAAUCAUAAUAAAGUCCAUCAAGUGGGCAUAAAAUGAACGGUUAAAAUCGAACGACGUCCUAAAAAAGGAUGAUCGGAUCCUUCAAUUCAAGAUCGGAGUUAUUGAUCUUUAUUUAUGUAGUGAAUAGAAUUUUCUAUCAAAAAUUCAACAAAUUUCGAUUCUUUUACACUGUUAAACUAGCAAGUAUCCCAUACCGGCCGUUAAAAAUUGUCAAAUUUGUGACAUCUUUAUCGUAAGGUAAAUGAUGUCGAAAAUUUAUAAAAUUUAAUUUCUAGAAGUUUUAAAUGCUGUAAAUAACGUUUAACAGUGUGGAUCGUCGAUUCGGAAGCUCUAUCAUUGAAAACAACUUAUGAGUACGAGGCGAUCGUACUCAUAAUAGUAUAGUAGCCAGACCAUAUAUAUAUAUGUAUAUAUAAUAUAUAUAUAUAUGUAUAUAUAUAUAUAUAUAUAUAUAUGUAUAUAUAUGUAUAUAUAUAUAUAUAUGUAUAUAUAUAUAUAUAUAUAUAUAUGUAUUAUAUAUAUAUAUAUAUAUAUAUAUGUAUAGUUAAAUGCCAUAAUAGGUCUCUGCAAAUAUAAUGAAUUGCAAAUAUAUUCCUACAAAAUUCAACUUUCAUAUAUUGUUUCUACAAAAGUUCUAAUAUUUUCAAAUAUGUAUCUCUAGUUUGUUACCGUUAGAGAACACUUCGAGAACUAUUUAUGUUUUCAAUUUUACCAUCACAAAUGUGCCCAUUCAAAAGCCACAACAGUAUAAUAGAAGAGGGACAAAAAUAUCAAGUUAUCUUAUAAACUAACCAGGAUUAAGUAUUUAAUAUAUGAUUAGCUAAAUUUUUCUAACGUAUUCUAACGACAGAAACAUAUUUAAAAAUAUUAAAACUUUUAUAAAGACAAUAUAUGAAAAUUGAACUUUAUAGUAAUAUACUUGUAAUUUACUAUAUUUACAAGAAGCUGUAUGAAUUUAACCGCAUAUAUAAUGUGUUGAGUACUUAAAUAAUGAGUACGAUUCUAUGUAAAGAGAUAUUUGUGAUAUUAACCACAUUCCAUACUCUCCAAGAUAGAAUUACAAGAUAGUCCUUAAUGUUUUUUUUUUUUUUUUUUUGGCGCUUUUGUUUUAUAUAAUAUAGGAGUUGGACUACUGUCAAUCCCCUAUGCANUCCUUUUUUUUUUUUUUUUUUUUUUUUUGGCGCUUUUGUUUUAUAUAAUAUAGGAGUUGGACUACUGUCAAUCCCCUAUGCACUUUCACAAGGAGGUUGGUUAAGCCUGCUGCUACUCUUCAUUGUAGCCAUGAUCUGUUGCUACACCGGCCUGCUCCUUCAACGGUGCAUGAAAGCCGACCCGAGAAUCCGAACCUAUCCGGACAUCGGCGAGUUCGCAUUUGGCUACUUGGGAAGGAUAUUCGUGUCGGUCUUCAUGUACUUGGAGCUGUACCUCGUCGCGAUCGGGUUCUUGAUACUAGAGGGUGACAACUUGGAUAAGUUGUUCCCCGACACUAAGCUUAUCGUCGGAACUGUCAGCAUCGCGAGUAAGCAGUUGUUUGUCAUGCUAGUUGCGCUUAUAAUCUUGCCGACUACUUGGCUGCGGAGUCUCAGCGUGCUUGCUUAUGUCUCGGCCGGAGGGGUUCUUGCCUCAGUUAUUGUUGUGUUCUCCGUGCUGUGGGCUGCGACGGUUGAUGGGGUUGGAUUCGGUGAAAGAGGGAGGUUCUUGAACUUGAGCAGUCUGCCGACCGCUCUAGGGCUUUACACAUUCUGUUACGGCGGCCAUGCCGUGUUUCCGACGCUAUGCACUUCGAUGAAGGAUAAGAGUAAGUUCUCAAAGGUGAGUAGCACAAGGAGCUAGCAUUCCAUUCAGGGUGCGUUUGGUCCACGUUUUUUUUUUAAAAAUUUCUAGUAAUUCAAUAAAAAUAAAAAAAUAUGACGGUGUUUGAUUAAACGUACUAAAUAAUCUAAUUGGUAAUAUUAGAUUUACUUGGGAAUGAGAUUUAUCCUAAAAUACUAAUCUCAUUUUCUUGAGGGAGGAUAAAUAUCCUCAUAUUAAUGGAUUGGGAUAAUCAUAAUAUAUCUAAUAUCUUUCUUUCUCCCUACCUGUCGGCUAGUUGGUAUUAUUUUUCUUUACACUCUAAUCUCAUAUUUCCCUCUAAACUUAUCUUUUUCUCUCUAAACUUCAACUCUUUUUCUCUCUCUAAACUAAUUUCUCUUUCCCCCUCUUUUCUAAAUUCUCAACUCUCCCACUCCCUCUAACUUCUCUCUCUAAUCUAUGUUAUCUCUUACUUUUUUUCUAAAAAGAUGUUGAAAUUUGUGGUAGUAUUAUCUAAAAUUAAUUUAAAAAAAUAAAUUAAUUGUAUAUUUUUUGUAAUCUUAAAUAAUAUGACUAAAUAAUAUGACUGUGCGAACCAAACACAGGAAUGCCACAUUCUUAGUAAUAAGAUGAAUAUGAAUAAAAUUCUCGAAUAUUUUUUUUAUUUCUAGUAAUCUUUUAUAGUGCGAACCAAACGCGCCCUAAGUGCUAUACAAUUUUAAGUAGCAAGGGUACAGUAGGUGAUCUCACAGCAGUUCAGAACAGAACCCUUAAAUUACCACUGAAACUUCUCAACAAGAAAAAAAAAGAAAAAGAAGAUGAUAUGGUAUUACUUAACCUAGUGGCGAAUUUUGUAACCAAUUAUUGAACUUUUUGGUCAUCUCAUGACCAGAGAAAGAUGAUUUCAGAAGUUAAAUGCUCUGUUUGUUAUAUGUCUCCAUGCCCAUUGAAUUGAUUCUUGUUUGAAUUUUGUGUCAUUAGUCUUGCUUAGUUGAUUCUCCUUUUUCUCAUUGUAGGUGUUACUGCUAUGCUUUAUUACAUGCACUCUUAACUACGGAUCGAUGGCAAUUUUGGGCUACCUCAUGUACGGCGACAGUGUAAACUCUCAAGUGACUUUGAAUCUCCCUACAGGAAAGCUUAGCUCGAAGGUAGCAAUAUACACCACACUAAUCAAUCCGUUCUCCAAGUAUGCCUUGAUGAUUGCCCCGGUCGCAACUGCAAUCGAAGAAAGAUUGAUCACGGUCAACAAGAGAUCUCCUACGCUGUUGAUUCGAAGCCUCGUGGUUCUUAGCACCGUGGUUAUAGCCUUAACCAUCCCGUUCUUCGGCUCGCUUAUGGCGCUCAUUGGCUCAUUACUAAGCAUCAUAGUGUCUAUGAUGCUGCCCUGUAUAUGCUACAUCAAGAUAUUUGGCGCGUCACAAGUUCGGAAGGUCGAGCUAGUACUCAUCUCGGGGAUUUUGUUGACGGGUACUUUGGUUGCUAUAACCGGUACUUACGCUUCGCUGAAGGAGAUUAUUCUUCAACUCUGAAUAUUUCUGCAGGAAAUUGUCGAGGCUUCGAAUUGUAUUUCUCAUGUCCUCUGUCAAAGCUGUAUUAUGUAUUUUUUGCUUUUUAAUAAAUGAGAAAAUCAAUCGAAACAAAUUACAUCGAGCAGAUUGCAGGAAUCAAAAUCGUACGUUCGUUUCGAUUGGAAAAAUUAUAUCAACAGUGUCCGUUCUUUUCAUGUUCAAGUUCAAUCCAUUCAGUGCCUCCGCGAUACUGUCAAAACCAAUACAAGAAUCAUCAUCCCCGGAAAUAAACCGAUAAAUCCUCCCUCCCACUUCGACGCAACUCUCCCCCGCUACCUUCUUCAACCCCUCCAUUCUCAUCACUCGCCUCAUCUUCGCAGCCUCCUCCCAUGAGCCGACCUCUGAAUACAUAUUUGCGACCAUCACGUAGUUCCCGCUCCGUCUGGGCUCCAAUGCUAGCAGCUUUCUUUGCACCUCUUCCCCGAUUCCGUGACUAUCUUUGGAACUAUGUAACUGGCAAGCGCUUAGCAGAGUUCUCCAUACAACCGCGUCAGGCUCAACGGGCAUGCUUUUAGUAAAGUUGUAAGCUUCAAGAAGGCGACCGUUGCGACCUAGUACAUCGACCAUGGCGCUGUAGUGUGUCAUCAUCGGCUUGAUACCGUAUACAUGCUCCAUUUCAUGGAAGAGUCGAUACGCCUCAUCCGCCAAGCCCGCAUGCGAGCAAGCACAAAUAACGCCCAGGAAGGUCACGUAAUUGGGUUCGACGGAAGUGUUCUUCAUCUGCGAGAAAAGCGUAAGAGCUUCUUCCGGGGCGCCGUGCUGAGCGAACCCGAGAAUCAUGGCGCUCCACGUCCACACGUUCCUCACUGACAUCUUCUCGAAUAAGCGGCGGGCGUAUGUUAUCGCCCCGCAUUUGGCGUACAUGUUGACAAGGGCGGUGCCUAACUGAAGAGUGAACUCUCUCUCAAUUUGUAAUAUCUGGCCGUGAAUCCACUUUCCGAAAGUCAAGCACCCGAGCUCGGCGCAGGCCGAGAGCAGGACGAGGAACGUGGGCUGAUCCAGCUCGAACCCGGAGUCCACCAUCCGGAAAAACAAUCUGAUGCACUCCUCGGGCGUCGAAUUAUCGACGCAGGCGGAUAACAUGGUGUUCCACGAGACCACGGUUCUGAGGGGCAUAUCGUCGAACACCUUACGAGCGUCACCCAAACGGGCACACGACCCGUAGAGCAGCAUGAGGGUGUUCUGCACGUAGACGACGAAAUCGACCCCGUUCUUCACGGCGUCGGCGUGGGCCUGGGCGCCGGAUCGGAGGUCGCGGAGUUGGGCGCAGGAUUUGAGGACGAAGGGGAGGUUGAGCUCGUUGGGGCGGAGGCCGCGGCGGCGCAUGAGGAGGAAGAGGCCGAGCGCGCGGGAGGGUGAGUCCGCUUGGGCGCGGGCGCGGAUGAGGAGGUUCCAAGCGGAGCGCGAGGGGAGGAGGAGGGGGGAGUGGAGGAGGAGGGUUUGGGCGUGGGCGUGGGCGUGGGCGUGGGCGUGGGAGAGCGCGAGGACGCGGAGGAGCUCGGCGGCGAGGAAGGUGCGGCGGCGGAGGACGCCGGAGGUGAGGAGGUGGGCGUGGAGUUGGAGGAGGUGGGAGUGGGAGCUGCAAGAAGAGAGGAGGGAAUGGUAGCAGUGGUGAGUGCCGUGGGUUGCACUCGCGCUCAUGGGCCGAGCCAUGUAAAUCAACAAAGAAAGUAAAUUUACACCUAUUCAUUCUAAAAUUUAGAAUUAAUUUUUAAUAUUUGAAAAAUAAUUUUUAUAAAAUAAAAGUCUCCUUCUUGAAGUAUACCAUCUAAGUUAUUUUUUUUAUUCCGUACAGAGAUAUCAUGUACCGAACAUUUAUUUAUUUUCAAUUUUCAAUCUCAUAAUUCAAUACUAGUAUUUAUUUUUUAGAGACCAGAUAAUUAGAUUAAAGAGUUUUAGAUGGAUAAAAUAUGGGAUAACUUCAAAAAACCCACCCUGUGGUUUCCAACUUUCUCACUUUAGUACCAUGUGGUUUAAAGUGUAUCAAUUUACCCCCCUGUAGUUUUGUUUUUAUUUUUUCUAUAGUUUUUUUCUUAAUAUUUCGUUAAAUUAUAUGCAAAAAAACAUCAGAUAUCCAUCUAGAUUUAUCGAAUAUUUAUUUUAGGACCCUUUAAUUUUAAUUUUGUUACUGAUUUGAGAAAAAAAAAAUAAUAAAAUUGAUAAAAAAAAAAGAGAAAAAUGAAACCACAGAUUGAUACACUUUAAACCAUAUGGUACUAAAGUGAGAAAGUUGAAAACCACAUGGGGGUUUUUGAAGUUAUUCCAUAAAAUAUCUAUAAAUUUUUAUGCAAAUUAAUCAUAAAUAUUAGAAAAUAGGGAAAAUCAAUAUUAUUCAAAUAUAAUUUGAGUUAUGUAUCUACCAUUUCAACACAAUUUCACCUAAAUUUUUUCAUUGAAGCCAGAUUAAAAAAGGUAAUUAGCAAAAUAAUUAAUUACAAACGUAUAAAUUCCGUAUUCGUUCGCGCCACGUAAAUUUAGCAUCCGUGGCCCCUCGCCACGCCAUGGCACUACCUCGUCUUCUUCGCCCAAAUCCCUCCCUCUCCACUCUCCGCCAUUACCAACCCCCCCAUCCUCGCCUCCUCCUACACUCCUCCAUCAUUCCUCUCAUAUCCUCCUCCUCUUCCUCCUCCAAGACCCACCUCCUCCAAAUCCACGCCCACCUCCUCCGCACCUCCCUCCUCUUCCACGACAUUUCCAUCUCCUCCGCCUUCUUAUCCCGCGCCGCCGCGCACUCCGCCUCCUACUCCCUCCGCCUCUUCGACCAAAUCCCUCGCCCCACCAUUUUCCACUGCAACGCCAUGUUACGAGCCCUCUCCGAGAGCGCCUCCCCGGAGCAAACCCUCGUCUUCUUCAAGCGCAUGCAGGACCUCGGCGUCCGCGGUAACCCCUUCUCCUCCUCCUUCGUUCUCAAGGCUUGCGUGAGAACCUCUUCGUUCUCUCUUGGGAAACAGGUCCACGGUAGGAUUUUGCGACGUGGGCACCACUCCGAUUCCCUCCUCCUUACCAAUCUAAUAGGUAUUUACGACUCGUGCGGGAGCGCAAGCGACGCGCGCAAGGUGUUCGACGAAAUGGCCGAGAAGGACACCGUCGCGUGGAACGUUUUGAUCUCUUGCUACGCGCGAAACCGACGAACUAAAGAUGCUUUGCAUCUGUUUGACGAAAUGCGGGACCCGAAAUAUGGGGCCGAACCGGAUGAUGUCACCUGCCUGCUCCUGCUUCAAGCAUGCGCGAACUUGGGAGCGCUUGAUUUCGGCGAGCGGAUACGUGAGUUUGCCGAGGAACAUGGUUAUAUCGAUGCAUUGAAUGUGAGGAAUUCGCUUAUCGCCAUGUACUCAAAAUGCGGGUGUGCCAAUAAGGCGUACCGAGUGUUCUGUGACAUGCCUCAAAAGAACGUUGUUAGCUGGAGUGCGAUGAUUUCUGGUUUGGCAGUGAAUGGGUUCGGAAGAGACGCCAUCGAAGCAUUUCGAGAGAUGCUAAAUGUGGGCGUCGCUCCUGAUGAGCAGACGUUUACAGGGGUCCUCUCGGCUUGCAGUCAUAGUGGGCUGGUCGAAGAAGGACUGAGAUUCUUUGACAUGAUGAAAUUUGAGUAUGGUCUGGUCCCGAAUGUAUGUCACUACGGGUGCAUCGUCGAUCUAAUGGGCCGAGCUGGGUUGCUCGAUCGUGCUUAUGGUCUUAUAGUAAGAGAGAUGGGUGUCACGCCAGAUGCCACAAUUUGGAGAACUCUGCUUGGAGCUUGUAGGAUUCAUGGUCAUGUCGACCUUGGAGAGCGUGUAAUCUCUCACCUAAUUGAAUUAAAGGCACAACAAGCUGGGGAUUACGUUCUGUUAUUGAAUAUCUAUGCAUCCGCAGGAAAAUGGGAGAAGGUUGCAGAAGUUCGGAGGUUAAUGAAGGACAAAGGAAUUCAAACUACUCCUGGCUGUAGCUCGAUAGAAGUGAGCGGUGAGGUCCAUGAAUUUGUUGCGGACGAUGAUUUGCACCCGCGAAAAGCCGAGAUUUACGAGAAGCUUGAGGAGAUAUGUAAGCAGCUAAAGAUUGCGGGAUACGUAGCAGAUGUGGCUUCCGAGUUGCACGAUUUGGAUAUGGAGGGGAAGGAGAGUGCUUUGUCUUAUCAUAGUGAGAAGUUGGCCAUUGCUUUUGGUGUUCUCGUGACCCCACCGGGCAGAACAUUGAGAAUCGCGAAGAACCUUCGUAUUUGUGCUGACUGCCACAAUUUCAUGAAGGUGUUUUCUGGCGUUUAUAAUCGGCCGGUGAUUGUUAGGGAUAGGAGCCGGUUCCAUCAUUUCAAAGAGGGUCAUUGUUCUUGUAACGACUAUUGGUAGGCUAUUCCCAGCGUGGCUUGUCUAAGCCUCUGCUAACGGCGCAUCCUAUCUCAUGAAUAGCUUUAAGGACUUACUGGGGCAAAGAUGGAAAGAUUGAUAAGUUCUAGGCAGCUUUGUGAGGAUUCAUAGCAUAAUAAUGCUCUAAGAUUGCGAGUAUAUUGUUAAAGAUGUUAUUCAAAUGGAAGUUAUGUAGAAAACGGACUGUGUUUAUGGAUUUCGAUUAAUUUUGUGAUCCUUUUGAAGGGCUGAUAAGGAAAUGGAAGAUGAUAUUCAAAGGAAAGCAGAAAUCGGACUGUUUCGGGCACGUUCAAUCUGCAAGAAAUCAUUUGUUGAGGGGAUUUUGGAACAUCUUAUGUUUUGUGCUCAUUGCUGGUACCUGUUAGAGGCAACAUUCAUAACAAACAUAUUUGUUGCUAAAUGCCUUUCUCAGGGACUAUCAGUCAUUCGGAAGUGGCACUCUCUUCUCAAUAUUUCUCUACAUGAAAACAGCAUUAUUACGCCAUCUAGUUGAUCACACAGAAUAAUUUUUUGCUUUCUGAUUAAAAUUUGUUCUACUAUAAAUUGUUCCUUCAUUGCUUUGGUUUAUGUUUCUUAGAUCUCUCUGACAAAUCAUGUGACAUUUAAUUGUAUGCAGGUUGAAAAUCAACAAACUUGGUUGCUCUGAAUCCACCCUGGAGCUGCUGCUGCAAAUUCGCGUUAUCACAUCUGCGAUAUUGCAGAGUAAACCAUAAACAAUUAAUAGGAGAUGCAGAGUUGCUUUUUUUUCCCUUUUUUUUUUUGAAGUUUAAAAAGUUCUGAUUUUUCAGGGUUAUACUAGCUGGCAAAUGUUUGGAGUGGUCUGGUCUUGCACCUUGAAAAAACACCAUUGGAUGAAUCUGGUUCACCACGUCAGCUAUGGGGAGCCACGUCAUAUUAAAUAUAUAUAUUUUUUAACUUUUAAUAAGAUUGCAACUCAUUGGAUAAUUAGGAUUUACUAUAAUAAUUUCAAGUUUUUUAGUUAGUCAAAAGAUUACAGAUGGUAAAUAUUUUUCUAAUGAAUCAACCGUCUCUAGCGCAAAUGGCAAAGGAUUUGAUAAUUGGUAUCUGAGAUGUAAGUUCGAAUUAUAGUUGAUUCAUAUUUCUAGUUAAGUUUAUUUGUAAAUAAAAUAAAUGAAGUGGAUAGUAUACUAUCUAUCUCUCAAAAAAAAAAAAAAAAAAAUCAUAAGUCAUUUGGUAAGCUCUUAUGGGCUCAUGGAUUAAUGAACAUGCCAGAACCCACAUGGAAAUUGUCUAUUUUUUAACUUCAUAAAUACACAUUGAAUAACUUGAUAUGAUAAUAUUAAUAAAUGGCAUUGCCUAACCUCAUCCUCGAAUUCAACUUUCUUCUAAGUUAUUGGAGUGAAAAAAAAUAAAAAACUUCACUGAUGAUAUCUUUCCGGAUGCAAGACAGCGUGGAAGAGCUGGUACAAGACUAUAUAAAAUAAUUUUCUCUCGAUAAAAAUAAAUUAUUUUUUCUUAGAGAGAAAUGAUUCGGUACUUUUUUUAAAAAAAAAUAAAAAAUAUCUUAACCGUUGAUUAAUAGAAGGUAAAAAUGUAACUUUAAUACUUAGCAGGUAAAAGGAUUAUUUUAUUCAAGAUUAGUUUGGUAAUUAAAUAAUAUAAUAUUUAAAGAAAUUUUUAAUUGAGGUCCUAAAUUUAUGCAUUAAUUAGCACUAACUUAUAAAGUUAAUUGAUUAAUCAAAUUUAUGCAAUUAUUAGGUAUUAAAUUAGGAAUUUACUUUAAAUGUUUUAGUGUUUCUCAAAUUAUGCAUUAAUUUAAAUUAUAGAAAUUUUAGAAAUAGUUUUAUUUCUAAAUACGAUGAAUUUAAAUUUUAAAAAUUAAAUACUUAAAAUUUAAAAAUAAAAUUUAAAUUAGAGGAAUUUCAUAUUAUUAUUUAAAAACUAAAUUUCUACAAAGAUUUAAAAUACAAUUUAUUCGCACAAGUUUAAAACGUAAUGCAUUAAAAACUUAGAAAGUAAGAUUUCUACAACUAAAUUUCUCUAGAGGAAUUUCAUAUUACUAUUUAAAUUUUAAAUUCAAUGAUUUAAAAACUAUAUUGAACCGAUUGAUUUGACUGAUCAGACUUUGACCUAUUCUAUCAAGAAUCUGAUUUUAACCUAUUGAACCGAAUAACAUUAAGAACAAUUUGGAACCGGUAAAAAUAAUAAAUAUUUUAAACAAAAUGAUAAUUUAACUAUUAGAGCUAAUAAAUAUUUUAAAUAUAAUUUUAAACAUAUAAAUUUAAAAGAUUAGAAUUAUUGGUGAGAAAAAAAAUAGUUAGGAAUUUGAAUUCAAAUUUAACUAACAAUCACAAAACUUAUUUCCGAACUCGAAGGAUUUCAAAAAUCCAUAUCCAAAUUCAAAACUUACCAAUUUUUCGAAAUCCAAAACCAUACCUAAAUCAAAAGACUAGAAUUCAAACAAUUAUUUCUGUUUACCAUAUUUCAAAGUAUUUAUAUGAAACUUAAAUUUUUAAAAUAUAAAUUUGAAUAUAAUAUUAAAUUUUAAAUUUAAAAGUGAAAUUUAAAUUUGAGAAAUUUCAUAUUACUAUUUAAAGUUUAAAUUCAAUGAUCAUAUUAUCAAAUCAUUUGAAAUUUUUCUUAUAUGAAAUGCCAAAUUAUGAAAGAAAAGAUAGAGAGAGAAAAAGAAAACAAAGAAAAAAUAAAAAUUUUGAAAAUAUAGUAGAUGUAAAGUGACUAAAUUAUCUAUGUAGACAAAAAUAUCCCUUUUUGAGGUAUCUGGUAACCGGUAUCUCUCCCAAAGUGAUCUGCUAUUGCAGGUUAUAAUUUUAAAAAAACUAAAUCUGAAUCGUUGAAUACGUGUGAAUGAACGGUAACCAAAAAAAAAAAAAAGUACAGAAGCAUUACUCUUCUCUCUAAUAUAUGUUUUUUUUUUUUCCUUCUCUCCUCACAUUUUUUUUGUCUUAUUUUCUCUACAUUCAAACAAAAAGCUCCACUAUUAUUAUUAUUAUUAUUAUUAUUAUUAUUAUUAUUAUUAUUAUUAUAUACAAUUUUUUAAAAUCUAAAAUAUUAAAUCAAGUUAUCGUGUUUAAAAACACAUUCCCAACGACCGAAUACUUCUUCGGUGCCGUAUGCUCGUAAGAAUCGCAAAAGUCAAGACAACAACCAUUGGUUGGAUAUAUAAACACCCACAAAUAAAUAAUAAACACAAAUAUAUACACCAAUCAAUGAGCAAACAUGUAACAUUUACUACCAGUUUAAUAUGCAUUCGAAAAUUGCACAUAUAUAGAAUUAAAAAAUAAAGGGCAAUUAUAUUCAUGCACCGUAAUUAGUGACCAUUACCUACAUUUUCCUACUAUUUAUUGCCAUAUCACCUUGCCUAAUUUUCCUGAUAUAACGUCAUCAUCUCUCCAACCACGCUUCCUAAUGGCCGGUGAUCGAUGCAUUAUGGAUUUGUUACUGAUCCUCUUACACACGAUUUUCGUAUUUUUUGCAUACAACGUGAACGCACACCUCUCAUCACGCGGCAACAAAUCACGUACACGGCACCUGUGAUUCUCUCUAUGUUCGACACAUGGCACAUUCCCAUUCCCCCUCCUUGUUUUUUCCUUUUUCUCCUCAUCCACUUAAAUUGAUUUCACACGUGGAAUAUGCCAAAUCAUAUUCCCAUCUCAAUCAUGUAACGUCGACCAUAAAUAAAUAAAACGACCCCCCACCUUCCCUUCUCCAAUUAUUGUUAUAUAUAUAUAGUAAGCGUCACGACUCGAUAAGUCCAAUUCAAAGAGGUUAAGAAAAAAGAGCUUCUGCGUUUCGAAAAAGCACUAAACAACUAUGAGGAGCCCAUCCCUUCUCUCUUUGGCCCUACUGCUUCUCGCAGCAGUUGUGUGUAAUGCACAAGAUUUCGACUUCUUCUACUUCGUUCUACAGGUACAUAUAUAGUUAAUUACUCUUAUUGUUGUUUUAGAUAUAUGCACAAGAUUUGAACGUGCACUAAUAAUGGUUGUGUUGUUGUUGUGUUGUAGUGGCCGGGGUCUUACUGCGAUACUAGGCAGAGUUGUUGUUAUCCGACCUCCGGCAAGCCGCCCGCGGACUUCGGCAUCCACGGGCUUUGGCCAAACUACAACGAUGGAUCGUACCCGUCCAACUGCGACCCCGAUAGCCCCUUCGAUGAAUCGAAGGUUAUUAUUAUUGUUUUGGAUUUGGUUUUUUUUCUUAAUUUGAUAUAUAUAUAUGAUUUUGAAAAGUUGCCGGUGUGUUGUAAUGUCGCUCUUCUUCUGAAAAAGAUAGUAAUAAGGAAAGAAGCUUAAAAUAGAAGAACCGCCUAAAAUAUCAGUGUUGUUUUUGAAAAAGAAGGAUCAGUAAAUUAUUAGCUCACAUCACCUAAAAUUUUAGGCAUAGGCCAAACAAUUUAGAUAGUUUCGAUGCGAAACAUUGUUAGGAUAAUUCUUGAGAGUAAUCCGAAACUACAUCGGCGCCUAAAACAUAUUCUUUUUAAUAAAUUAUUUGUAGAUAAGCGACCUGAUAGGGCGAAUGCGAACGAAUUGGCCGACCCUCGCAUGCCCGAGCAACGAUGGCGUGAAGUUUUGGGGGCAUGAGUGGGAGAAGCACGGCACCUGCGCCGAGUCCAUCCUCGACGAGCACAGCUACUUCCAAACUGCUCUUAACCUCAAGAACCAGUUGAACCUUCUCCAAACUUUACAAAAUGCAGGUAAAAUUAGUUUCACAUCGGUUUGUAUAUACGUAGUCUCCAACCGACUCAACGCUAUGUCUUAUCAUUGAAAAUCUCAGUAGUUUCUCUUCAAAUUCAUCGAAUUUUCGUACUUUUCUUAUGAUGAUGAUAGAUGUACUCAAAGUGUUUGAAUCUUGAACACCUGUUGUUAUAAUUGAAGGCCUACUAAGACCAAACUAAAACUAAGUUAAGAAUUUGGAGUAAUGCUUCCAUAAAACAGUUUCCAUCCGAUUGCAUUUCCUCAUUAAAAAAUGACCAUAUUCCAUUAUAAUGAUCUGACCCGCUAAUCUCUAUCUUGAAUCGUACAAACAACAAAGUCAAAAAAUUAAGAAAAAAUUUUACCACGUACGAAUGAAUAUUAACUAUAUUUUUAUGGGAAACAACGUACAACGCAGGGAUCGAGCCGGACGGUGGAUACUACAGUUUGAGCAGCAUCAAAGAGGCUAUAAAAGAAGGAACUGGUUACACCCCAUUCAUCGAAUGCAAUGUCGACGAGUCGCGGAACAGCCAAUUGUAUCAGGUUUACUUCUGUGUGGACACUUCAGGUUCCCAGCUCAUUGAGUGCCCAGUAUUUCCCAGAGGAAGAUGCGAUUCAAGGAUUGAGUUCCCUGCUUUUUAGUAGAUAAGGGUGUGUUGGGUUGUAGUUUUAAUUAAUCAGUUGCUUGUAUUUCAUAAUAAGAUAAUUGGAGCAUUUAUUCCUGUAAUGAAAGAGACAUAUAUGGCAUCACUUUCAUAUUCCCUCAAUUUUUUUUUUUAAAAAAAAAAACAUUGUUUUCAUAUGGUUUAUUUCCUGUAUGGUUAAUUACUUUCGCCAGUAGAUACUUUUUUCGUAUAUACGGUUUCAGAUUAGAGGAUUCUCAGUUCAGAAUUACACCCAGAUUUUAAUGAUCUUCUCUAAUUUUCUUGCUUCUAUUGUUAGGCUUGAAAAAAAAAAAAAAAAGUGAAAUGUAAAUAUUAAAUUAUUAUUGUUUUUAAUUACAGCAUAAGAGUUUUACACUCUAUAAUAUGGACUGAAAGAAAAGAAGAAAAAGGAAAGGAAAGUUAUAAGAGAAAAUAAUUUUUUGCUGUUUGGAUCGAAACUGCAGGAGAGAGAAGAAAAAAAAAGAAAAAAGAGAGAGACAGAGAGAUAGAGAAAAAAUGGCCUUUUGUAAUGGUUUUUCUCUCUCCAACAGUGAAGAUAAAAAGGAGAAAGAAUUACUCUCUUUCUUUUUUUCCCCACUUACUUGAAGUAGUAGAAGAGAAAAUUAGUUUAUUUUUCCUUUUCUUUUAUUUCCUUAUCUCUUCUAUUCAUAGAGAAAUUAAUUGCUUCACGCUUUUGUUUUAUAAUGUAUAAUAAUGUACAAGAUAUUCCUAUCAAUGUAUCAUAGACCACGUGGGAGGAUCAUUUUUUCUCUCUCUCUCUCUUUUUUUUCUUUUUUUUUUUACUGUGUUGUUUUGAGUUGUCAUAAGAUGUUAAAAUGGGUCUAUGUUAUAAUAUAUUACUGAUUUCAUCAAGUAUAAAAUUUUAAUUGGCAACACUGUUGUAUACACAUAAAAUUGUAGCAUCCGUAAAAUUUAAAAGAUUAUAGGGAGAUUCAAAUAGAUACAAAUGAAUAAUAUGGGAUCCAGAUCAUUUUUUACCUAAUAAAAAGAAAAUUAAUUUACGUACAUGUAAUGAUCAAAAGAUAUAGCGCGUUUUUCUUUUUCGAAAACAUUUAUCUUGGUGGUCCAACGGUCUUGAAAAAACAGUGCCUUAUUUUUAUCAUUUUUUACAUCUUUUUUCAACGAGCCAAAGACAUUUUAUAUCCCAAGAAAAAGAGACCUCUUAUUGACGAAAUAUGGCCCUCACAUUGGAUCAAAUUACGUACGAUUUGGUCGCGAAAAGGGCAUUAAUCCGAAAAAAAGCAACACAUAGCGUAGAAGAAACCGGAGUGUCCAAAAAAAAAAGAAGGCAAGGUGCGUUUCGCAAACAUAAUAAUAGGAGAAUUAUUAUCUUCUUUUUUUUUUUUUUUUUUUUGAGAGAGAUAGUUAGCACGCUACCCGCUUCGUUUAUUUCAUUUAGAAAUAAACUUAGCUGGAAAUGUAAAUCAACUAAAAUUCGAACUUGAGUUUCGGAUACCAACCACUAAGUCCUUUGCCACUUGCUUUAGGGACAAUCGGUAAUAAGAAUUAUGAUUGUUUAUCAUAAACAUAAAAUAAGAGCUAUGAUUUUUUUGAGAGAUAGGUAGCACGCUACCCGCUUCGUUUAUUUUAUUUAAAAAUAAACUUAGCUAGAAAUGUGAAUCAACUAGGAUUCGAACUUAUGUCUCGGGUACCAACUAUCAAGCCUUUUGCCACUUGCUCUAGGGACGGUCGGUGUUUAGCUAGAUUAUUAUUGAAAAAGAUUCGAUAGUUAAGUGAAUCUACCAUUUGGUUUGCGAGAGAGAUAAUUUAUUUGCUGCGCUUCAUAUCUUUUGUCUCUUCUUAAAGUUUUAGGCACUAUAAUAUUAGAAAAUUACAAAUCAUUUCUAGUACAAGUGACAACUUAAUUAAUUUAUAUUUUCAGUGACAUUUAUAAAAAAAAUCUGUACUCUAGCGUUUGAGAACUUCUAUCAAAUACAAACUCUUGUUCCAGCUUUUCCAGAUCUAAUCAGCAAUAAGAGUUUGAUCGAUAGGUGUCACUUCAUAUGCCAAGAAAGAGUUUGUUAACCAACCCAAAUGUCUCAUCCCAAGAGUGCACGAAAUAUGGGCAAUCACCUGCUAACUCUAGGAUGUUACACUUUCAAUCACCAACCCUUUUUAUUUAUUUUCCUCAUCCAAAACAUAAUAUAGGUAUGUAUUUAUGUUCAUCCCCAACCACAAAUAUUAAUUUGUCCCCCUAGAAUGUUCCUUGGGAACCCAUUUCCAUUUAUAUCUUUAUUUUCUUUCGCUUUCUGUACAAGUAGACGUCUACUAUAAAUAUGUCAUGAUUGAACUAAAAAAAUUAAACAAAUAAAGAUACAAAUGUACGCGCACGUAUCUACAUGGACCGGGAUAUACCCGAUUUUUGUUAAUAUAUGUUCUUAUGUAGUUAGGAGGAAACUUUACAAAAUAGUUUAUUAGUAUGUCUUUCAUUAGAACCAAACUAACUAUGUCUUUUUUUCUUUUUCUUUUUUUUGAUGAGUGAGUAGUGGUAAGUGAAAGUUCGUCGGACCCAACCCAAUCUUGGCCUGAUUUAGUUACCACGGAAUUGGCCCAUUUUUGCGUGGAUCAUAGAUUCAACAUAGAAGCGUAAGCGCGUAACACACACACACAAAUGGGUCGGAUCUAGAGAGGGUUUCGUAAUUGGUUUUAUUAGUUAUAUUAGGCCGCCUCGUUGACAUCCCAAAGUAUGUGAUUUGAAUCCCAAAAUAUUCCAAAUUACUUUUAUAAGCAACAUGACUCGGAAAAGAUAUACAAACAAUUCGUGAACUCUACCACUUUUGUAAGCAAACCUCCGAACUUUUAAUUCUGAUAAUUACACUCGUUAAACUCUUUCCUCUUUCUAAAAUAAAAUAUAAUACAACUUUUGGGUUAUUGGAUAUGAGGCUUGAGGACCAAUUAUCCCCAAGUAUCCAUUUUGAAAUCCUUAGAAGAGACCCAUUCGGCUAAUUAUGCGGAUGCUCGGAGCUUGUUACGCACAAAAUUGGUAGUUCGCUGUCGCAUGUCAAUUUUAUUUUUAUCCAAAAAAUUUAUAUUUUUUUAAAAAAUUAAAUAUAUUUAAUUUAAAUAUAAAAAAAAUAUUUAAUAAAUAUUUAGAUAAAAAUAAAAUUGACAUUUCCCACUAAAAUUUUAGCCGCACAUCAACCGUAGUGACCGCGUGACAGUGUAAUCGGAACGGCGCAUGAGACUCACCAGUGAAUUUCCUCAACAAGCUUUUGAUCUUUUUGAGGACUCGGGAGAUGUUUGACUGAAAUUAAGGCUCAGGCAAAAUGAUAUUCUGUUUUUUUUAUAAAUAUAUAUUGUUGAAUAUAAUUUUAUAUAUUAAAAAGUAUGUAGAUGAAUUUUAAAAUUAUUAUUUUUAAAAUAUGUUAUUAAUCACUUAUUCAGAUGCGUUCUAAGUUAACCAACAACAAUAAUAAUAAUUCUUCAACACAUCAAGUUAUAACCAACCGUCCCUAUAGCAAAUGGCAGAGGAUUUGGUGGUUGGUACCCGAGAUUCAAGUUCGAAUUCUAAAAAUAAACGAAGCGGGUAGCGCGCUAUCUAUCUCUUCUAAAAAAAAAAAAAAACACAUCAAGUUAUAUAAAAUUAGUGUUUAAAAACAUGAAAAUGAGCAAUGGAACUAAACAAGGUCUAAGUUUGUGACAAAAAACAUUAAUCUUAUUACUAGCUUAGCACAAUAUCUUUUUUUGGAUAAAUUUCAAAUACCACCCCCUGUGGUUUCAUAUCACUUUAGUACCAUAUAGUUUAAAGUGUAUCAAGUUAAUGUUAUGUGGUUUUAUUUUUAUAUUUUCGUCAGCUUCUCCGUUAAUAUUUCGUUAAAUUAUAUAUAAAAAACUUCAGAUAUCCAUUUAAAUUUAUCAAAUAUUUACUUUAAUAGCUUUUAGCUUUAAUUUUGUCAUUAAUUUAACAAAAAAAAUUAGUGAAAUCGAUAAUAAAAAGAUAAAAAAUGAAAUCACAUAGUACUAAAUUAAUACACUUUAAACCACUGAAUAUUAAAGUGAAAAAGUGUGAAACAAUAAUAAUGGUAUUUGAGGUUUUUCCUUUUCUUUUUCAUUUCUUUGUAGAUUUUAGGUCUUUUAACCAUUUACAACUAUUUCAAAGAAAAUUAUUUUUAAGAAUUUAAGCUUACGGUCACCAACCGAAUUUUCUCAAUAUCUUAUCGGCAUCCUUAUUAUAAAAAAUUAUUAUUAUGUAUAACAUAAUACACGAACCAAACACACUCUUUAUGCAUAUCGCCAUCUAAACUUUUAAAAUUCUAUACUUUUCAUCUAACUAACGAUAAAAGAAAAUAAUAAAGAACGCCAACAAUAUAAAAAAAGUAUAUUUUGUCCUCAAAAUUUAGUCUUAUAAUAUAUAAAUUAAUUUUAUAAAAUCUAAUUUUUAUAAUUAAAUAUUAUAAUUAAUUUUAUUUUAAAAAUAUUUUUUCUCCAUUAAAAAUCACUACCGUGCAAUAUAAUUAUAAUUAAGUGUUUAAACCAAAAGAAACGUAGGCGUUUAAACGGUUAAACCAAUAUUUUUUAAGAUAUAAUUUGGUGAUAAAAUUUUUAAGAAAAAUGUGGAUUUGGUGAACCUGAACUGAUCGGGACCAACCACCAAGUAGGUUGUUGCCUAGAAAAUCCCUCUCCAACCACAAAAGCAUUAAAAAUUUUAUUUUUCUAUAAUAUUAAUUUUACAAUCUAAUUAAUUAAAAUCAAUAUAAUAUAUUUUAUAUUAAAACAAUAUUUUAAAAUUAUUUGAUCUUGUUGUACUUCGUGCCACUUCGUGCCUACGAUGGUCAACGUUCUAUUAUCUCUAACGUUUUAUUAAAAUUAAAAUAAUAUUAUUAAUCGUAGCAUGAGAUGAGAUUGCUUUUUUUAAAAAAAAUUUAGUAUAAUAAUGUCUACAUAAUUUUAAAAUAACAAAGUAUUAAAAAUACCACCGCGUGUGUCGCGUAGCUCCAUCACGGUCAAACACAAUGUCAUUUUCAUCUAAUAAAUCAACCUAACAAACCGUAGAAAAAACAAAAAUCUCUUAUACACGGUACGAAGACUUAGGCUUAAGUCUUAAUUUGGUAUUGAAGCCUAUCUAACAUUAUUAGAUAAAAUAGAGUUGAGAAAAUAGUAUAGGACAUCAGAAAAUAUAUCGUAAUCGAUUCAUCGCCAUAUGCGGAACGUAAUAUUAUAUACGGAAACAAAUAAAAUAUUUUUCUAAUGUUCUUUUUCAUCGUACGUAACGCAAUCUCUCCGUAAUCCCAAACCAAACCUUAGUUUGGUAUUGACAUAAAUCUAACGCUAUUAGAUAAAAUAAAGAGAAAAAGUAUAUAGGGAUUUGCUUUUGUGUUCUCCGAUGGAACCGCAAAAAAUAUAUCGUAACUGACUAACCGUAAUAUGCGGAACGCAAUAUUAUGUACGAAAAUAAACAGUAUAUUUUUUCAUCGUCAUUUCUUACCGCACAUAACGCAAUCUUUCCACAAUUCCAAACGAAUCCUAAAUAUAUAAUAAUUAAUACUUACAUAAUCAAAAAUUUAUUUAUGUUUUAAAUUGAAAUUGUGAGAACAGUAUAUUAUUAACAGAAAAUAGUACGGUAAAAAACUAUUUUAUUUUUUAAAAAAAUACACCGACAAAUAUUUAAAUAUGUUUGUAUAUAUAUUUUUAAUUUUUUUCGCCUCUCACUUAAUAAGUAUAAAGAAAAAGAUUUUUUUUAAUUAUAUUAAAAUUUCUUUUCUACCGCUGAUUUUUUUGGGACGGUGUGACGGCGCGUCCUCCUUUUGCCACGUGUCAAAGGGAUAAAAAGGAUGCUGUGACAGGUGGACCAAAGUGGUCACCAAGUAAAAGGGGGGAAAAGUAUCUACUAUUCUCAAAUUAAUAACAUUAUUAUCAAAUUAAAAUAAAAAGUUAAAUAGAUUUUAAAAAAGAUUAAGUGGUUUCUCUGUAAAUUAAGAUCGUGCUUCGAUCGGAUUUUUAGUUUUACACUCGUUUAAUACUCAAUAGAAUAAAGUGAAGUUUCCCCUUGUGGUUUCACUUUUUCUCACUUUAGUACCAUAUGGUUUUAGGUGUAUCAAGUUAGUAUUCUGUGGUUUUACACUUUUUACUUUAGUACUCUGUGGUUUAAAGUGUAUCAAGUUAGUGCCCAAUGAUUUUGCACUUUCUCACUUUAGUACUCUGUGGUUUCGCACUUUCUCACUUUAGUACCCUGUGGUUUAAAAACUACAUGGUACUAAUUUGAUACAAAAAUAAAACCACAUGAUACUAACUUGAUACAAAAAUAAAAUCACAUAGUACUAACUUGAUACACUUUAAAUUAUAGGGUACUAAAGUGAGAAAGUACGAAACCACAUGGUACUAACUUGAUACGCUUUAAACCACAUGGUACUAGAAUAAAAAAGUACGAAAUCAUAGGGGGUUUUUGAAGUUUUUCCUAAAAUAAAAUUAUGGUUGUGAAUAAUAAUAUAGUUUAUCUUAUCUUUAUUUAUUUAUACAAAAUUCAAAGGAUAAUAACACAUAAAUAAAACAACUUGAAUAAUUAUGAUGCCCAAAUGUGCCUUCUUUUUGAUUCCCUCCCUUAAGAUGCCAAUAUUAUAUGCAUUGUGAUGCCAAAAAACGUACAUGAAUUAUACAAAGGUGAUAAGCACAAAUAAUUUGGUAAAAUAAUAAUAGAUGGGGAGUUCCUCAACUUUUAAUUAUUUAUUUCUCAUAUUAGCUAAACAUCUUUAUUCUCGAGCUUAUUCACACAUAUAUAUAUAUAUAUAUAUAUAUUCUGCUUUAUCUUCAAGCAAUAAAAAGUUAACUUGUAUUGAAAAAAGUUUUUUUUCCUUAUCUUGUUUGAAUAAUAAAAUUAAAUUGAGCCAGUUAUUGGAAAAGAGAAGACUUAACAUAGUAUUUUACCAAAAAAAAAAUCUUUUAUAAUUAAAGACUAAAGUAUAAUUAUAUAUAAAUAUAAUAAAAGUUUAAGGAUUGUUAGACUAAACGACAACAUUGAACAAGUGCACUAAUUUUAUAUAAUAAUAAAUAAAUGAUAAAUGCUAAAUCUGUAAUUUAAGAGGGGCCCUAACUCUACAACUACAUCAUAAAUAAAUACACUAAAGAUUAAUUUUUAAAAAAUCCUAGUGAAAUUAGUAAAUUCAAAAUUAAGAUGUGGUUUGUUGAAAACACCACAUCAGCAAUACGACUGUCCUAUUGCUGACUUUUUUCAUCUACAAGUCUCUAGGAUUUAUUCAACCUCUCUUAAAUUUUUAAUAAAAAUAAAAAAGAGUGAUUGAUGAGACAUAUGGAGUAAUUUUCAACAAAAAUUCUAUAGUCAACAAGAUAGUAAAAUUUUUUUUUUGAAAUAUAUAAAAAAAACUCUAUUUAAGAACAUAUUUUUAUAGUACAAUACUAAUAAAAUUAUAGAAUAAUUAAAUAUAAUUUUUUGAAUCAUAAAAUGGUGAAAUAAAUAGUGAACUGUAUUUGAGUGGAGAAGAAGAUGGAGGGUGGAGAUUAUAAGGGGCAAAUUAAAUUAAAGUCUGUUUGUUUAUGUAUUUAUUUAUUUGAAGAAAAAAUAUAUAUUUUUGAAAGGAGGGAGAGAGAAAAGUGAGAAAGAGGGUGCCGGGUCAAGUCUCUGGCGUAGACUCCAAGCUCCUCCUCCUUGUUCGUGUUCGAGCUCCUCUCCCCUCUCACCUGUCUCUUCCCUUCCCAAAAUAUAUAUCCAUCCAUAAACACCACGGACUCGAACCUUCUCCUUCUCUCUCUCUCUCCUCCGAAGUGCGCGCUUUCUCUCUCCUCGUUCUUCGAAACCCAAAGGUACCUCUCUCUCUCUCUCGCGCGCGCGCGCGCUCUACGAGGGUUUAGAUCGAAGCAAUGCUUCACAUCUCAAAUGGCGUUGACCACAUUCGGAUCUCACUGAAAGGUUUCGGUUGCACAAGCAGCCUCGUUCUCGGACUCACUUCGUCUCCAUCUCUGCGGCAUUUGAAGUCGAUGUCUUAGGCUCCAGCUUCGGAUUGAAGUAGAUUGUGUGAUUUGUUCUGCUUAUUUUGAUCCCCAAUCGCGUUUCCGAGUGUAUAUAUCUCUCCGUGUUUACUUUAUUGGAGUUGGUUUCGAUUAUUGAGGCGACUAUUGUGCUAUUUUUCACUUUUGGAAGGUGUUUCCUUAAUAUUUGGGUCUCAGGUGGCGCCAUUGCGUUUGAAUUAGUGGGUUUUAGUUUUGUUGAGUUGAUUUCGUUUUCGUCUUUGUUUACGAUCGGUUUAAUUUGUACAUCGUGCUGUGGUUUAACUGCUUUUAUCUUCUCACCUUCCUUGCUAAUUUACAUGACGUUGAUGAUCAUGCCGUUUCCCCCCCUUUUUUUUGGUGCGGUUUAGCGUUCAAAAUUGAGAUUUGUUGGUUAAUUCGUGUGUUCUCCCUCUUUGUAUUUCUCGAUAAUAUAAGUUUUUUUUUUUUAUUUGUAAUUUUGGUGGUUACAUCAUUUACUGGUUAGAUUCUUCAUUUAAUGCUUUUAUAAAUAAAUAAAUUAUAGGGGAAGAUAUUUUGGAUUGUCUUUGCUCCAGUCCCAAAUCUUUUAGAUUUCUCUCCUCGGAGUAAGGGAAUGAAUUCUUGUACCAAAAGACAAUAUGUUACCGUGUGAUAAUUUAAUUCUUGUUUGAAUAUGUUGCAUGCUGGACUCUCCAGAUAGUUUAAUUUGUUCUCAGAAUUAGAAAAUUAGGUUUAUUGAUUACAUCUUAGGGAAAGGGGGCGAAUGUGUGGUUUUGAUGUGCACUGAACUUCUUAUCCUUCCUUUACUAGCCGCAUAUAAUUCUCCUCUUCAAUUGACUGCGGUCUGGGGGUAAACACACUGAGGAAAAACAUACAUUAAAAAUGAAAUGAUUCUUGAUGAAUUAGUGGUGACUGUUUCUUCAUUUUUGGAACCACAAUUGCAGAAUACAUAUAUUAACGUCCUUAAAUUAUUGGCCGAAUUCUGAACAGUACUGUAGUUGAUGGUUUGCGUGCUUAUUUGCUUUCUGCAGGAUUCAUCUUACCAAGCGUAGAGCUCAAGACAGUUUCUGAGGAGUAACCUUUUAUGCUUCUCGGAGUUAAAUUCUUCGAUUAGGGUAUUCUCUCUCCUUGAUGUGUCCAGCCCUAAAAGGAACAUCUUUCAAUUGCAUGCUAUGAGAGUCAGUUUCACAUUUGGAUUGAACCGCUGGGAUUUAUCUACGAUACAAAAUCAUGCUCUAGAUCUAUGUACUUGCGUCUUGUUCAAACGCAUAUUGAAUACUAGUUAUUGGUUAUUCUGCAAGGUAUCUUGAAGAUGAUGAUGAAGAGAUGGUCUGGCGCUGUUGUUUUACUUUUUUUAUUCGUUUUUUUAAUUUUGAGGUAUGUGAUAAUGGAGAGCCCAUUAGCAGAAAAAUCUCUUCAAAAAAUACUCUACCGUAAUAUUUCGGAUCCUCUUCAUUGGUUGAAUGUCCCAAACCCGCCUGCAGUUCUUAAUCCAGAGAAUGCAUCACAAGUUGUCUCAACUAGCGUCUUAUUCUCCCAUAUUUUAGCUCCUGGAAAUCUUAGUAACGGAGAAUCAGAAAUGCUGCAAUCUUGGAAUCAUUUGAAGCAAUUGAUGAAUCGUACUGAGGGGUUACCUAAUGCAGUUGAUGCUAUCAAAGAAGCUGGGAUUGCAUGGGAAAGCCUCAUGGCCUCAGUUGAAGAUGCAAAAUUGGUCGGCUCUGGAAAUGGAAGUGUUUACCAGAAAGUGAAAGAGAAGCAGUGUCCAUAUUCAAUUUGGAGGAUGAAUGCUUCUGAAUUUGGUGGUGAUGUCAAAUUAAAGAUACCUUGCGGACUGGUUCCGGGUUCUUCAAUAACCGUCAUUGGCACUCCUGGUGGUAUUCUGGAUAACUUUCGGAUCGAGUUAACUGGAACUGCACUUCCAGGGGAACCCGAUCCUCCAAUAAUAUUGCAUUGCAAUGUUCGCCUUCUUGGUGAUAAACUCACGGAAGAUCCGGUGAUAGUCCAAAAUACAUGGACCGUAGCUGGCGACUGGGGUCCUGAGGAGCGUUGCCCUUCAAAAGGUUCUGAAAACAGUAAAAAAGGUAUUUAGAACUGAACUUAGAUUUCACUGACUUAAAUUUGCAAAACGGAUGAGGAGCAUCUUUCUUUCAACUUUUAUCUUGUUAUGGGGCCGGUUAGAACUAAAAUGGAUGAGGUUUGCUGAUUACGACUGUUUUCUGAUAAUUACCAGACAGUUGUCUGAUAAUAACCAGACAGUUUGUUUGGACGGAUCUGAUUAUAUGACAGGUGUCAUUAUUUUAUAAAAGUGCUUCAAUUAAAUGGAUUAUUAUUUCUGCUGUUAGAGAGUAUAACAAUGUUGGCUGUAGCAUGGAUGAAAAAUUGAAAAGAUUAGCAGAUAAAUUACUAAAAUGGCUAUUAGGAUAUAGUUGUCCUUUUGGAGGACUACAAUGUUAUCUAUUUAGACAAAGUCAAGGAUGUUGCAAUUUUGCUUCAAGUAAAUUAUAGAAUCCAUUUGUUGAAGGUUCAUAUUAAUUAGAACAAAAAGGGCACAACAGCAGUUUGCACAUAGUUUGUUGACAUUCUUUUACACUAUCCACAUUUACUAAAUUGGUCCAGCUUAUUGAAAACUGCCGCUAAACCUUGAUCACCAACAUGACUUGCCAUGCACUCAACCACUAAGGUGGCAGCAAAGGAACGAGGGCCAAAUUUGGGGCUCAAUAUCUGACUAGUUUUUUCAUUGGAAAACAUGUUGCCUAUGUGGUUCGUAUUGGAAGGUUUCUCUUAGCACGUAGCACCUAUGAGAAAAAGGAUUCAAGUUUGUUGCAUGAUUGCAUUGGUAAAUUUUUUGUUGCCAACUUGGUUCAUCAAAUAUCACAAGAUCUAUCUAUUAUUCUACCUUCUUGGAUUUUGCUUUGGUAUGAGUUGGGAUGUCGUGUAAUAAGUAGGAAGGGUAUACAAAGGACAAAACAGAAAGAUUUUUCUUCAUUGAUUUUUCUUCAUUUUUUUUUUGUCCUUUGAUGUUGAGGGGGGUUACCGGGUCGAAGGAAGAAAGUUAUAUACAUAUAUAGUCGCUUGUGGAUAGUGCAAGCUGGGAGACAAGAUGUAUGGGAGCCCAAGGAUAUUGCUACUCCUGUUUGCACUUACUGUGAGAUUUUUAUUGAAGAUCAGCUUUUCUUUUUUUUCCCCCUUGAAACGUCACAUCUUAGAGAUACCUGCAAAAUGGAAGCAUUGUCAAAUGGUGCAUGAUUUGUUACUUGUGGUCUAAUUUCUAUCUUGGAGGCAUUGUAUAUAAAAUAUUUCAAUGUUGUAGGACAAUAUCAGAGCUUCUUGUAUAACUGUUUUAAGUGUAAAUUAUUUGGAUUUUUCGUACAAGGAUAGUAUUGAUUUUUGUUCUUUUUGCCAUGCUCUUAGAUGCAACUAGUAUAUGGUUUUCUUUUUAAAUAAUGAAUACCAUGUGUUUCUUAUUUCUUAAAGAACCUUGACCGAGUUGUUACAUUGCUGAUAUUUCUGAUUUUCUAGGGACCUACUUUUUCCCUUUAAUACCUGUACUGACUCAUAUGCGCUUUCUCAUUAUUUACCCUCUUCCAGUUGACAAUUUGGAGCAAUGCAGUGAGAUGGUGGGUAAAGAUGAAAAGCGAAUAUUGGCAUCUGACAGGUAUUCUAAUGUUUCAAAACGAACUCCCACCAGGAAAGAGGGUGCUGAAGAUAGGAAAUAUUUUCCUUUUAAACAAGGAUAUCUUGCCAUUACCAUUUUUCGAGUUGGUGUUGAGGGUAUCCAAAUGACGGUAGACGGGAAGCAUAUUACUUCCUUUGCAUACCGAGAGGUACUCCGAAUGCCAAAAUAUUCAUUACUACCCUUUUAAUAUUGCAUAAUAAUGUAUAGUAUGAAUUAUGAAUUAUGAUAAUAAAUUUGUUAAGUGUUUUGUUUCACCAGAGUUUGGAGCCAUGGCUUGUUAGUGAAGCAAGAAUUUCAGGGGACAUUAAAUUAAUGUCGGUCAUAGCAAGUGGCUUGCCCACAUCAGAGGAUUUAGAGCACGUUGUUGAUCUUGAUAUACUGAAGUCACCACCAAUUCCUGUUGGUAAAGCUGUGGAUCUUUUCAUAGGCAUCUUUUCAACUGCAAAUAAUUUUAAACGAAGAAUGUCAAUUCGAAGAACAUGGAUGCAGUAUGAUGAAGUGCGCUCUGGAAAAGUUGUAGUGCGUUUUUUUGUUGGCCUGGUAAGAAUUGAAAAGUUUUGACUGCAACAUUAUCCUUGCUAUUUAAAAGCUUAUGAUGUGCAUUUUUUUUUUUUAUUUUGCCUUCACUUUAGUUGGCUGUAAUUCUUGUGAUUAUAUAAAUGUUCUGGCUUGAAAAGCGCCUUAGCGUGAAUUGAAUGAUCUUUCUGUGGCUUUUCAAAGCAUAAAAACCAGUUGGUGAAUGAGGAGCUCUGGAAUGAGGCACGCACCUAUGGAGACAUUCAGCUGAUGCCAUUUGUUGAUUACUAUAGCCUGAUUACCUGGAAGACCAUUGCCAUUUGCAUAUAUGGGGUAAAUAAAUCAACAAUUUUCAUUAGUACCGCACUUCUAUUACCAUUUAGAUGUUUUCUCUGCUUCUCUAACCUUUCCAUUUUCUGCAGACGAAUGUUGUAUCUGCCAAGUAUGUUAUGAAGACAGAUGAUGACGCUUUUGUCCGUGUUGACGAGAUUCUUUCAUCUUUAAAGCAAGUCAACGUCAGUCGUGCUCUCUUAUAUGGCCGCAUCAAUUCUGAUUCUGAACCGCACCGGAAUCCAGAAAGCAAAUGGUACAUUACCCCUGAGGUAAUCAAUAAAUUGACGUACUCAAGAUUUGACCAGUUUUUAAGUACAAGUACAUUAUGUUGAGUUGUUGCGCCAAAUUGUUACUCACACGAUACACUAUCGCUUCUGACAUAUUAUUAAGAAAAUGCGUAUUUCAUUAGAAGACUUGAUAGAGUUUGUUUGUUAAAUAUCAAGUUCGCAGCAAAUAUAUUGCGGUCAUUUAAGUUGUUUGUCGUCAGUGAGCUGAAGUCUUAUAAACUUUCUGUUCUCUUGUGAAGGAAUGGUCUGGUGAAAAGUAUCCUCCUUGGGCACAUGGUCCAGGUUAUGUGAUCUCACAGGACAUUGCAAAGGCUGUCCACAGGCAGCAUAAGAAAGGGCGGUUAAAGGUACUGCAAAUGUUGUGUCAGAUAUAAAUAGGAAAUGUUUCUGUUUACCUGUUUACCUUACCGUACUUCGUCAUUCUCUAAUAAUGUUUGACUUAUUUCCAUAAGCUGACAUAAGAUGCCGUCGUGCAGAUGUUCAAACUAGAAGAUGUUGCAAUGGGUAUAUGGAUCGAUAAGAUGAAGAGGAAAGGUUUGGAUGUUAAGUACGUAAAUGAGGGGAGGAUCUACACUGAAGGGUGUGAGGCCGGCUAUGUGGUGGCCCACUACCAGGAGCCCAGAGAGAUGUUGUGCCUCUGGGAAAAGCUUCAGGAGACUCAUCGAGCGAAAUGCUGUUGAAAUUGGUCGUAAUCCUAAAAUGAAAUGGUUAUAUGGCGGGGAAAAUGUCGUCGUCGCGAUGCUACUUCCUGAAGGCUAUAAAAGAGUUUUUCACUAACUCGGUGAGAUGGAAGCUCGCAUUGUAACUGUUGAACGAACCAGCCGCCUUUUGAAGGCACCCUCGGAGAUCGACCUUUGUUUUUUCCUUUAAAUUUUUGUUGCUUGAGCUUAGGUAGAUCUCGGGAGGAUAUGAGAAUUUCUCUGACAAAGUUUAAGAAGUGAGGUAUACGCAAUAUGGUGUUUUCUCUGAGAGGAUAUUGGUUUUUAGUGUAUUAAACCUCCCCUGUAUCAUAUAUUAUAGGAGGUACAGAUUAGGUUAGGAUAUUUUUGAUUUAGGGAGUACAAGUAUCCUCACAGAUGUAAAAGCUGCACUUUUUUAUUUUUCCCUUCUAUUUUUUUCCUGAAAUUAUUUACUUCAGCACUGCAACUUUUGGUCCCUUCAAUUUUACUUUUUCUAACGGACCAACUUAAUUUUUAUUUUUAUUUUUUCAUUUACGUUGUUCAAAUUAAUUAAUUAAUUUAACAAUUUUGUAAAUUUUUUUCCUAGUUUUAUUUGCUACAAAAAUAAUUAUAAUUAAAACUUUUAUUUAUUUGAAUGAACUUUGCUAAUUUUUAAAAAUUCAAAAUCCUAAAAAAAAAAAAAAAUCAGAUGGUCCAGGCAAGGUGGCCCAAUAAGACUUCAGAACGGACUCUGGCCUAGCAAAAAUGUCGGCCUAUCUAUUUUGGGGACCCAACUCGCAGCAUGCGCAUCAUUGGGCCCCACACAUUAGCCUUUUCGCGAGAAUCAACUUUCUCCUCUUGUUACAUACAUGUCCACAGAUAUUAGAAAAGAAAACCUCUUCUGAAAAAAAAUAAAAAAAUAAAAAAAAUAAAAAGGAGAAUAAAAAUAAAAACCAGUACGAAAAUUAUGCUUAAAAAAAAAAAAAUUCCAAUGUUUCUGCGGUUACAAUAAUGAAAUAACAAUGAUGCAAUGCAUUGAAAUGAUAGAUUAUUAUGCGGCCAUGCAGCCAAUGCCGAAGCGCGUAUUGGGGAAGACGAGGAAGAGGGCGCUGCAGACGACCCCGACCAUGAGGGGGAAGCUCUCCAUGACCUCGUCCAUCUCCGCCCUCUGCCCCGGGAACAAGCAGUUCGUCACCCGGUGGUCCGACAGCGCGAUCGCCGCGAACACCAUCACCGACAUCACCGCGUGCACCAGGUCCACGAACCCCAUCCGGAACCGCUCCUCCCUCGGCACCUCCACGCCCGCCCCGGCCUUGAACACCGCCAGCCCCCGCGGCGUCACGAUCCCGUAGUACACCUUCCCGUCCGCCGCGCGGAAGCUGUCCGUGAAGUGGAACAGGAAGCAGGACGCCGCGCACAGCCCCAGCAGCGCCUGGAUCAUCCCCGUGCUCACCGCGCUGCACGACCCGUCCCCCGACGCCGACGGCAGCAGCAUCUCGAACGUCAGCAGCGUCCCCGUCGGCAGGAAGUUCACCAGCAUCGACGUCUUCGACAGCGUGCUCUGCAGCCCCUUCGCCACCGCCCGCCGCUUGCGGCCCCCCGCCGCCGAAGGAUUCGGCGGCGAGGACCGAGGGGAGCAGGGGUGAGACGCCGCGCGCUCGCGGUCGCGGCGGGGGGAGGCGUCCAUGCUGAUGGAGAUGCCGCUGCUCUCAUCCAUUGUUUUGAUCCAGGUAGUUUGCGUGUUGCGUUCGCGGGGCUUUUUAAGUACCUGUAUUUUUGAAUUCGAAUACUUAUUCAGUUAUAGUUAAUAGGAGGGGCUGCUGAUGUUCAUUACUACGACUACUACUAGAUUAGGGCCCGUUUGGCCCAGUUGGCCAUUAGAAGGCCCAAGGCACACUGCGGCCUGUUUGGAUAUCUUGCAAUUUUAUUAUAUAUUAUGAAAUAAUUGUAUAUUAUUAUUGUAUAUGCUUAGUAAAUUUCAUUCUUCUGUCUUUUUAAACAAGACUCGACUCAAUUUGGCCUUCUAUCAUUAGAUAGAGUACUGUUUUCUGUAAGCUAACAAACAAGACGAGGCCUUUAAAUUGAACACAAAAUGCAGAGUUUUGUUGCCACUUCAUAAUUUACUACCACAUCUAGUGCGCAGCUGCAGGCGUCGGCUGUCUCCGGUCUCCAAUCACUCAAUAUUACAUUUCUCACGUUUCUAAUAGCAUUAGAAGACUACAUUAAUUAGUACCGCACUAAGUACUUCCAAUUGUUAUGAAACAAUUAAUUGCUGCACUUCUGAUAUUAAUUUUAGACAGAUCUACAAAACGAGCAGAUGGGUUUGAUCAUCAUCUGUUCCAAAUCUAUGAAUCAUGCCUCUAAUAUUAUACAAAAAGAAAAAAGAAGAGAGAUUAAUUUCAUACAGGUUCUUACAAAUAUAGUAAAUUAUAAAUAUAUUCCUACAAAAUUUAACUUUUACAUAUUAUCCCUACAGAAGUACCGAUGUUUUCAAAUAUAUCCCCUACUGUUAAGAUCCGUUAGAAAAAAUUAGUAAAUCAUAAAUAAAAUACUUAACCCUAAUUAGUUAAUAAGAUGAAUUGAUCUUUUUACCUUUCUUCAAUUAACAGCUGAAAUUUUUGGAGAGACAUAUUUGUGAUGAUAGAAAAGUCAUUUCACUUAUAAAAUAAACAAUGUUUUAACGGUAACAAAUCAAAGAGAUAUAUUUAAAUAUAUUAACACUUUUGCAGUGACAACAUAUGAAAAUUGAAUUUUGUGGAAAUAUAUUUACAAUUUAUUAUAUUUGCAGGGUCCUGCAUAAAAUUAACCAAAAAAAAAAAAAGACCCAAUUGACUAACUC
Molecule: long non-coding RNA, 61151 nt
Filed under: Ananas comosus (pineapple)
Lineage: Eukaryota; Viridiplantae; Streptophyta; Magnoliopsida; Poales; Bromeliaceae
Description: long non-coding RNA (ACOM_LNC004422)
Source: RNAcentral